UGGAAGACAAGUAAUUUGACUUGUAGCAUGCAAAUCUUUCACUUUUGCACCUAUUAUUUCCAUACAAAAUGACCAUUUAUGUUAUCAAAGAUCUAACAUACAUUAAUCUAUGCUUUCAUGGCUUCAUUCAAAUAUAACCCAAAAAGAAUUUCUACGUUAAAUAUUUACAUUAAUGAUAAAAUUAAAUAAAUACAAAUUCAGAUUUUGAAUUAGUAGAAUCGAAUAAAGAUAUCCAGACAAAGAGAAUCAAAUUAUUACGGUACAAGCGAUUUAAAAACUAGAAAAAUCUAGAUAAAAUUUAUUACCUCAUACUAGACUAAACCCAGCAUAUAGCGAUGAAAUGAAGCAGAAACAAAACAUGGUAUGUGUGCUUUUUGGCAUGAUUGAUGAUGAGAUGAUUAGAGGAGGAUAAGGGAUGGCUUGAAUGGUUGUGUGGGUGGUGCUUCAGCUAUUCAUUUAAAGGGAUCAUGUGGGUACAAGUGGAAGUUCAUUUCUCUUAUUUCAUCCGGUAACCUUGAUCUGGAGUGAUUUUUCGAAAAUUAUGUUCAGGAAAAAGUAGAAGAAUUACUAGAAAUCACAAGAAGCUCAUUGCAUAUGAACAGUGUGAUAUAUAAAAGAUGAUUGUUCUAAAUUUAAAAUUGAAAUACCAGUAUUACUACUUUUAUUUUGAAAACAUCUUCAUCUCUAUCAUUUUAAUGAUAUAAUAAUAAAUUUAACCUUCACAGUUUAUAUCUUUUAUCAAUUUGAUCCUUAUUUUUUUUUAGUUAAAUUUUAUCAUUAAUUUUUUUAAAAAUAGUCAUAUUACUUUUCUACCAAAAAUGUUGGCUAAAACAUUAAUUUUGUGACGAUGUUAGUGUGGUAGCCUGAGUGGCAGUCUACGUAUACUAUAUACUAACAUGACACUAUUUGUCUUAUAUAUCACGUCAACAAAAUGAUCUAAAAAUUAUAAAAAUAUUCAAAAAAGAAUAAAAAAAUUGAAGUAAAUGUGGAUUUUCAUGUGAUCUGCGAUAUUUAAAAAUUUAACAUUAAGAGAUAAAUUAUCAUUAUGCCUUUUUAAAAUUUUAUUAUGUAUAUCCAUAGAAAAGGGUAAAAGUACUAUGGAGACUCCUAUACUAGGAGUCAGAUUGUAUUUUCCCCUCUAUUAAAAAAAUAGACAAAUUGGCCCAUGUACAUUAGGAAAAGUACAAAUUGGUCCUUCUAUACAAAAAAUUAUCUUAAAAGAUGAUGUGGAAGGAGUCAAAUUGUAUGUUGCCCCCUCUACUCAAGAAAGAGAAAUUAGUCCUUGUACAUUAGAUAAAAGAACUCUCUUUGUUGGCAGUGGCAAUCUGUACUGAAAUUAGACUUAUCAUUCAAGACUGAAAUCUAAAAUGUUCAUUAGAUGAAUGGAAAAAAACAAGUAAUUCCAUUAAAAAAUAUCUCAUGCUCCUACUAACGUGAAAUGAAAUGAGAAUUCUCAUGAUUUAAUUCAACAACAGGGGGAGCAGCUAUCUUACAACAUGGACACAACAAUGAGAAUUUCGUUUCAUUAGCAUUACAAACUAUUAACCAGUUGGUAUACACGAAUCAGGAAAAAGAACUUUACCCAAUUCAAACUUCAACACCGAGAAGAAGGGGAGAGCUGCGCCCAUUGUCAUUUCUGGAAUAUCGGGCUGCCGUCAUAGCUGGAUCCUGAUAUGCAGUUGCUAAUUUUUCGAGAAAUUCUGUCAUGGUUGGAUCAUCCUGGUCUUUUCUAUCUUUCUUUAUCAAACACUGUAAAACAACAAAUAAUAUUCAGGCCAAGACAACCGAAAACAAAAUGAAGAACCAAGUCGAACAUGGAAAACAAGUACCUGCAAGUCCUAGGAGUUAAGAGUAUUAACAAGCUAUUAACAGCUUAGCUGAGUAUCUAAUACUCAAACACUAGGGAAUAUAAAUAACCAAUGGAUAAUGUAGUUCGUGAUCGUACCUCAGUUGGGUAAGCUUUGAAGAUGGGCAGGAACCUCUUCCGGCAGUAUGCGUUGAAUACAAGCGUAAGAAUCGGAAGAGGGAUAGUUAAACUGGAUGCUAGAGGAAGCUUCUUAAGCCCAAAUAUUCCGAUCGCAAUAACAUGCAUUAGCACUAAGGAAAAUAUUGUUGAAUUGUGCACAAUUGGCCAAAACUUUCCACCAGUUUCGAAUUUGGGUGCAUAUACAUUCAAGAACUUGAAAAAAGAAGAAGAAAUUGUCAAAAAAUUAGAGAUAAAAUGUUGGUCAGAACUAAACAUUGGUGUGUUAAUCAAGGGUGUUAGACACAGAUAUUUCAAGAAAAAUGAUGAGAAAGAGAAACAAAGAAGCAAGCUGUGAAAGGGGGCAUUUCACUGACCUGGUUGCGGUAGAUAAUGUAUCCCAGGCAACAAUAAACCAAGAGAAAUGGCAAAAUUAGUGGGGCAAGGAAGAAAUAAGUAACACCAAGAAGUUUGAAGAAGAGAAUCCUGGGAAUUUCACUGUGGUAAGGGAUUGAAGGAAUUUCAAAAUCAUCUUUGUCAUCAUCUUUCCCCAUAAAUAGUCUUUGCACGAAACUGUAAAGAAGGGGAAACAGACGAAGAAGUUCGGAAGUUGUACUGGUCCAUCCAGAUGUCACAACAUAGGCAAUGAAGAAUGAUGCCUACAUGAAACAUGAAGAACCUUCAUCAUAUCAGAUCUGAAGACAAUGACUUAAUCAUUAAUGAAAAUAAUGUUAAUGUUCAUAUAUAUCGUUCUUAGCUAGAUGUUAAUGUAAAUCUCAAUCCAACACUUCUAUGCGAAAAUAUUCUAACAAUUAAAAGGUUGACAUAAAGUAGGUAGACCAGUCAUGGAUGCAAGGUUUAGGCAUUUGUUUCUCAACCAGAACUAGUGACAAUAAAUACUAACAUAUUUAUGGAUAGAACCAUAAAAGAAUUUAAAGGAAAAAUGAAUUAAACAUAUAUAAGAAAACUCCAUGGCUUAUCCAUGUUUUCACCUGUGCAGGAACAACUUCGCCUAGCAGUCCGGGGAUUUUCUUUGGCUCAAGGAAGAUAUUGACCAUAGAGAGAGCAGAACCUGAUAGUACGUUAGCGAAGAAAAUGUUCCACACGGUGAACCAUAAUAGCUUGGUACACGCAUUUUUCUCUAUCUGACUGUGGGAAAUAGAUCCUUGCAUGGAAGAAAAGAGUAUCAUAAUUGGUGGUACAAUCGAUAGGAACAAUUGAAGAAUGAGACUUGGUAGAUAUCCCGUAAUCAAAUUACUGACGAAAGUCCUGCAAUUUAAGAAUCACUAUUUGUUAGUAUAUUGAGAAAUGAGAAAUCCAUAUUCAAAAGCUUUUUCUAAUUUACCAAGAGAACAUGAAAAAGAAAUGGCCUGCUUUUUUAUUUCAAAAGCAUUGAACCGAUUUUACAUUUCAUAUGCAACAGAGAAAGAAUAUGCACUUACAGGCUUAGUACUCCUUUUAGAAAGGGGAGCCAGGUCUCUAGCUGCUCGAGAUGAGUGAGACCUUGCACGACUACAACUGGAAUAAGAAAUAAAAUUGUAACAGCAAUAUAUGCAACAACAACCACAAUCUUAAACAUCCAUCUUUUCACAAACGAUGCAGAAAAGAAAGGCCAGUAAAUAUCUUUAGGCUCGGGAGCUCGUUCAGUAACCCAUUCCGUAGGAUUAAUCCCUUGUCGGAUGUGCAAAGCUAUUGCAGCACCAAAUCUCGACUUAAAUGACACAAAAGCAGCGGGUAUUUCCUAGCAAGUUUUGAAAGGCAUAAAGAAGAUCAGGUGCAUCAAGUAUUAUCUUCCGUAAUCAAGAUAUGGACACAGAUCACAACUUUCUACAUUCAUAACAGCAAAAAUCGACAAAUUAUAAUUCGUUUCAUAAUUUGAACUCUGUAGGCAUCAGGUUUGGUGUUUGUUUGACCAAGAGAUGAAUAUAUAGACACAAGAGAACAUCACAAACCUCUCCUCCCAAUGAUGAUUGCUCGAGUCUCACAUUAUCUUCUAUAUCUUCCAACUUCCUCUCAUAGUGAUCUACAAGAUCAACUUUUCGACCAAAUAGUCCCAAAAAUCCUUCACGCUUAUGCCUUUGCCGAGAGUUUGUCGAUUUUAAACGACCAAGUGUUCUAUAUAGCUUCUCUGCAUCAUUCUACAUGCAACAACAUGGAACUGUUAAAACCCAGAUAAAGAAUAGCAGAACCCAAAAGGGAGAAAAAGAAUAAAUUCGGAGUUGAAAGUCAUAGUUUCAUCUUAUAUCUAUGGUAACAUUCUUUUCAUCCUAAACUCCCUAUGGUACAUAGAUCCAUUAGCCUUGAAAAGUCGUAGUCCAAUUUCAGAUUAGUUUUCCAAGAAAUAAAAGCCUGAAUCAAUAAAAUAUUAACAAUGUUGAUUACCACAAGACUUUGAAUCUUGCUUGUUCGGCGAACCACUGUAUGUGAAAGAUAAGUUGAAGGAUGAUACUCCGUGAAAAAGUUGUCAACAGCUUGACUGAAGCUGCUUCCAGCUGAGGCAGGAAUACCGCUAACUAAUAUCGUAAACUGAUCUGACCGAGGUUUAGAAGAAUAGAAAUGGUCAAUUCUUUUCAACGAAAUAUAGUUGUACUCCUGCAAAAAUGACCGUAUCACCAAAAUUAAAGCUUUAGCUGAUAUUUAUACAAAUCAACAAUUUUGUUGGCAUAGGCAGAAUAGCAUACAUAAAAUAUCACUUACGUAAUACAGAAGACAGCAUACAAACACGGUGAAAACAUAGGCAGCACAAAAGUGAAUCCAUAACCUUGAGAAUGGCAAAAACUUAUAGUCAGCUUUCCCUUGACAUUAAGAAUUUAAAUAAAUUUUUUAUAAACAAGUUUUUCAUACUCAUAAAAUCUGACAACAAAAAAAGGAGAAAUCACCAGGGAAGCAUUUGGUCAAGUCUCAGCUGCAACGGUUUUUUCUUCUUUGACAUAACAAUAGUUAUUCAGGAGUUUUAAGAUCAGAAACUGAACUUAAGUUAACUAACUACAUAAUAAUUACCUGUUUGAACCAUCAUUCACAUUUGAAAUACUGAAUGACUCCAGAGUUUUGUUCGGCAAAUUAGAGAAAUCAAUGGUUAAUUGGUCGCCCGAAAAAUUAACUGGCAGAAGAACAAAGAUUCCGACGACACAGGCAAAGGCAAACACUCUAACACUGCAUUUGAAAAAAAAAAUCACUAGAAAUUAAUUGAAGAUGACAUGCAGAAAGAUGGAUCCAGAAGAAGCGUAGUAGUACAAUAAUGCACUUUUAUAUGCCACAAAAAUAUCAAGUUCAUCAUGUUGAAAAAAUCAACAAAAAAAAAAAGGUUUCCCUUGCUUGGGAAAAAUAGACACUAUAAUUUUGAACAUGAAGCAGUGAGUCAAAAUGAUCCUACAAGUAGAGAUAUCAGUCUAGCAGAACACUCAUCAAAACAAACUUCACAUGCCUCGAUUAUAGCCAAACCAAGCAGAACAAAGUUAAGACUAUAGUCCAUUAAAACAAGUUUAAAUGAGUAGCUGAACUCAUACAGAAGUCUUGCUAUCAAAAGGAAUUUUGUAAUCUCACCAGUAUGAGUUUAUACUAAAUGGACUCCAGCAACAUCACAACUUAUAUUGCAGCUUUUUUGCUUAGCGAAAGCUGACGUAUUUGUAAUAUCGGCCUUGCAAACCUAUGUUACUCAGACUCAAGUGUGUUGGUUUAGGGACAUGGGUAUGUGGGUGUUCAAGAAAAUAAAGAGUCAGAGCAACAUAGUUGCAUACCAAAAUUUGGUCAAUCUUGCACUAAAGAUUGCCUUGAUAAAUGGCUAGAAUCUAUAGCAUCAAAGCUAAAAAUCUCCCAACAGAAAUGGAUCACUAUAUGUUACAACCCAUAGAAGUGAACUGCAGGUUCUAUUCCUAUUUUUGAAACUAAAGAAACAUUUAAUAAUUACCAGAAGAUAAAAAUGCGCAUAAACACUACAGCAUCCAAGCCUGUAAUUGACAAUAAUUCAUCCUCAGAUGGUUGCCAUGCCCUUUUCAACCAACCAGGUGAUGGUAGCAAUCUUUCCAAGUUGAACUCAUCCUCUUCCUGAGCUUUUCUUUCACUGAACAACCGAGGCGAAUAUACGGGGAUAUUACCUGGCUGGUUCCUCAAUAUCGAGUAUAGUGCAAAAAACAAAAAGCAAAGACCAAGAUUGAUCCCAACAGAAGUUAAAAGGGCUGAGAGUAUCAUCUCUAAAAAGGCAGCUCUGAUAUAUCACCCCCUAUAAAAUCACCAAAUACAACAACUCAAUUGCAGUCAUUGACUGCCCAAACUGAAUUCCCUGAUUCAAAAUUCGAAAGAUUGUGUCAAAAAUCGAAAAUCCCAACACGGGAAUGAACUUAGAACAUAUAAACUCAUCAGCUGAGGAAACAUAGCACACAGAAUUUUGUUAUCAGAACUUUAAAAAGACGGCACAUUAUGAACAAACUCUUAAACACUUUAACCCUCCAUGAUUCUACACAGUUCUCACUUGUCAGACAAUUCAAAAACUCAUAUCAAGCUUAAACUAUAAAAAAUGCUAAUAAUUGGCAUUGGAUUAAAACAAAACAACUGAAACCCAGAAAAGAAAUCUAUGUUUCAAUUAAUAUCUUUAAUUCGAUUCAGUGAUACAAUAAAACUCAGAAAAAAAAUUCAAAAAAGAAUCACCUUCACAAAGAGAGUGAGAAAGAACACCUGGUCAAAGACUUCGCAGAAUGAACUGAAAGGGUAAAUAAAUGGAGCAAGAACACAAAGCUUGGGUUGCUCUUGGAGACCAAGUAAAGAAAGACAAAGACAAAGCCAAAGAAGGGAACUUUCGUAUUCGAUAAACAUUCAUAAGAUCACCUCUCAAGUCUCAACUUUACUUUUUUUUAAAGAUGAACAUAUAUAUGUAUGAAGUGCCGGUUUCUGUCGGGUUAAUUUCACCGUAUGUCCCCAUUCACAUUCUUAAUUUUAUCCAUAAACUUCAAAGUACAUUUUUUUUAAAAAAAAUCUCAAACUAUCAAGAUCCUCUCUCUUUGUUUUUCUAUUUUCUUAUUUUUCAUAGAUAAAUAAUUAAAAAUAAAAAUUUAUGUUAUAAUUAAAAACAAAAUUUAAAAUUUAAUUAGUUAUAAAAAUAUUUAAAUUUAUUAAUUUUUGGUAAUUUUCUCUUUUUUCUUCUAUAUAAAUAAAUGAAAAAUAAAUAAAUAAUGAUUUAGAUUACAAUGUAAAUUAAUAUUUUAAUAAAAUAAAUUAUUGAACUAAUUUAUAUUUUCUAUUCUAGUAACAUUUUUUCCUUCUUUAUUUUCUUGGCAAAAAAUUCUUCCUUAGCUAAAAAAAUAAAAUAUAUUGGCUCAUAAAGAUAAAUACAUAUUAUUUUAUUGUCUUAAAUUCUUCCUUAAUGAUGCUUUGGAUUUUAAAGGUAAAAGGAAGCAAUAUAAAAUGCCAAAUUUAGUAGCAUUAAGAUGCACAUGCUCCACAAACUUCAACUUCAAUCAAACCUCACAUGACAUCAACCAAUAUAUUAAUAGAUGUGGCAUCUAGAAAUGGAAAGAUUGAGGUGAAAAUAAGUUAUGGAGAUGAGUUUCUUUGUGAUUUUGAUAAAAAUUGUUGAGUUUUGAAGAAAAUUUAAAUGAAAAAGCAUGAAAGAAAGAAGGAAAAAACUUCCAUGAAAGAGGAUUGAUCUAUUGAAGCAAGAAAAAGUUGAAGUUGAUGGUUUUUAAGAUAGUGACCCACUUUCAAUGUCUAUGAUGCAAAAGUCUCAAAACUUAUACCAUAUAUCAAAUAUAUUGUAAAAUGAUCAUUUUACCUUCUUCUUUUUUUUGCUCUUUGCACAAUUUUUUUACAAUGAUAGGUAGUUAUCAAAUAUAAAUCUCAUAAGUCACAUUUACUUUUUAAUAAUACUUAUUGGAUAGUGAACAAUUUUAUCCUCUUCUCAACGAAAAUAGAAAUUGUACGAUUUAGUCCUUAUAUUUUUUAAUCUUUUUAAUUUGGUCUUAAAAGUGAUUUUCGGCACACCAAUACAUAUUCCAACUUGUUCUUAUGUCAAAUAAUUAUUAAUAGAUCACAUUUCUCAUUUUUUAAAUUUACACUUUAAUCCUCAAACUUUUUGAAAUUUGUAAUUUAGUCUUUCUUGUCAUAUUCUUUAUUAAUUUUUCAUCAAUUUCCAUCUCAUAUAUUAAUUUUUUUUUAAAACUUUCUUUAUUUGUUUUUGUUUGUUGCAUGGUGGUUGAGCUUGGUAAUUGUGAUAUUAUUGGUAUGAUGAUGUUUUUGAUUUCUUUCAAACAUGUAAAUUUUGUAUGUUGAUAGUAGAAUUUUUUUGUUUUAGAGUUUAGAUUAGUUAGUUCAUUUUUCUACACUAUAUAAUAUGGUAGAGGUGAUCGUUUUAUGUUAAAUUUCAUGCCAUGUGAUAAAUAGAUAUGUGGAUGAAUGUUGAAAUACAUGUUUGGAAAUUUAUGUCAUUCAUGGAAUUAUAAUAGAAACAUGUUUUGAAUUCAUAAUUGUUGAAAUGUCUAGGGAUGACCUAAGGCAUUGCUUGCAUAGCUAGAGUCAAAUGACUUACCUUUGAAUGGUAUAUUACCCCUAGUACAUUUAUUUGAGUAUUAUUGUACCUUUCUUGAUGAACCUCUAUUUUUGAGACCUUGAGCUGAAAAUUUGAGUUUAAUAUUCAACCCUUUUACCCGUCCUCUCUUUUUGAUACACACUUUGAAUUGGACAUUGGGACAUAGGUAUUGUGGUUUAGGUGCAACACUAUACUCAACCUAAUCGCCAAGUUUGAGCUAUAAGAUGUUACAUUCAUUAUAGGAGCAACUACGAUCAAUUUUAUUCAAUUUCAACCAUUAAACAAUUAAAUAUGAGUAAUACAAGCAUAAACCAUUCAUCACAUACAUAACGUCCCUUAAUCGAGCCCUCAAGGUUUUAGAAAUACAAUAGAAACAAUUCGGGACUAAAUUUGAAUCAAUCAGAAAUUUCAUGAAAAAGUUAGAAAAUUUGGACUGUAGGGGUCACACGGCUGAGAUACAUGCCCAUGUCUCAGGUCGUAUAACAUUCGAAAUGGCUUCACACGCCCGUGUGCCAGGCCGUGUAACUGUUUGACUUAUAAACCUUGAAACCUAUAGGGGACACAUGACUGUGUAUCACACACAGCUGAGACACACGCUCGUGUCUUAGGCCGUGUGGACAUGAAAUUGGCCAAAAUCUAGCCAUUUCCAUCACUAACCCACAUAUGUACCUACAAGCAUUUUAGUGUUUAUGAUCAAGGCAUUAUAACAUGAUAAAAACCAACAUAACAUGACCAAUUCAAUAGUCUAUAAACAUUCAACCAAUAUGCCAUGUAAGGCACCUCAAAAGCAAACAUAUAAACUUACCAAACAUGCAUAUACUUGAUCACAUUUCUACCAUAUCAAAAUAUACCAUAACUUGGCCUAUACCAUAUCAACAUAGACUUACCAUUUGAACCAUUUCUCUCAUGCAUCACAAGCACUUAAAUGACACAAUUCAACCAUUACCAAAAUAGUACCAAACAACCAACAUAUAUACAUACCAAAAUCAACAUCUAAGCAUUCAACCAAAAAUUAAACAUAAGUCCAUCUAUAAAUGCCAUUAUAACCUUGGCCAAGACAUCAAGAACUACCGAUAUAAUCGUUGGAUAGUGUGAUAGAUCUCCGACGAGCUUCCAAAUUGAUCGAGCUUCCGAUUAUCUAUAAAAUAUAGGAAAGAAAAUUACGUAAGCAUAGAAUACUUAGUAAGUUCGUAAAACAUGCACAUAACUUACCAUUUCAAUGCAAAACCUUAAAAUUAAACAUGAUACAAUCCAACUAUAAGCUUGGCACAAGCCUAAGAAUCAUGAACAACACAUAUUAGUUCAUCAACUUUAUAACAGCUUGGUUUUCAGUGGCGUCGGAAAUAGUGGUUUAGGACCACCAAAUCUGACUAGUAAGCUCGUGAAUUUUAUUAUUUAGUAUCUAUGAGUCAAAUGUGAUUUUAGAAAGAUUUUUACAUUAGUAAUUUGUAUUUUAUAAGGAUUUAUUAGGUCAAGUGGUUUUAGAAAAUAAGGUAUUGAGAUCUCGUUUCUAUAAAUCGAGCCGUAAAUAUUUUUAUAAAUAUUUUCAGAGAGUCAUUAAGGUAGUAUUAAAGUUUCAUUAGAAAAUUUUAAUGUUUUGAUAGUUAAUUAAUUAAAAAGGACUAAAUUGAAAAAGGUGCAAAACUUAUUAAUUAUAAGAAAUAGUGAUUAAAUGGAUUGAAUGUUAAAAAAAGAGGACUUAAGGAGUAAAUGUGCCAAAAAUAAAAGGGUGGGACGAUAGGUAAGUGCAAAAUAAUAAAAUAUUUGAAAUGGAUGGCAAAAUUGUAAUUUGUAUAAAAUUAAAUUUACAAAUUGAAAUUAAAAAGAGAAAUCUAGACAAUUCUUCAUAAAUAUUCAGCCAAAAAUGCCAUAGGAGAGUCCCCUGAAGCUGGUUUUUAUAUUUUUUCUUCAAGUGAGUUCAAUUCUUGCCCUUUUUCUUGAAAUUUUUAUGUUUUUGAUACUUUUACAAUUAAGUCCAACUAACUAUUUCAUUAGUAUUUGAUUUUAUUGGAAAUUUUGAAAGUUUACAUUUAUUAAUACUAGAUAUUUUUGAUGAAAUAACAUUGAUUUAGAGCUUUAAUUUUGUUAUAUGAUGAUUUUACAUAGUAAUUUUGAUAGAUAUUGAUUUUAGAAUUAAAUUGUGAAAAGACUAAAUAUUAGGGUUUGGCAUUAAAUUUCUAUUAUCAAGGGAUGUAUGAUAGCCUAGAAUAUUUAGAUAAAUUUUCAAUUGAGAAAAAUUAAUUCAUUUGAUAGACUAACUAAUAAAGGAUUAAAUUGUAAAAGUUGUAAAAGUUGGGGUAAUUGUGUAAUUUUGAAAAUUAAGGGGUAUUAAGUGUGAAGUGAAUUGGAACUGAAAUAUAUGCUAAUGAAUGAAUAAUUUUUUAUUUUAGAUCAAGAGCCCGUAGAUCCUCGUGAAAAAGGAAAAUUAGCAGAAUAAUCCAUGAACUUCUACAAAUCUUACAAAUUAACUCAGGUAAGUUCAUAUGGUUAAACUUUAAUAAUUAUAUAGAAUUGAUGAAUGAUAUUAUGUAUUUAGUAUAUUUUUGAAAAAUGGAAUAUUGUUAAAUUAUAAUAUUGAAGUGAAUAUCUGGUUUAAAUGGAACUCGGGAUUGAAUAUAAUCGUUGUGUGGUGCAAGACAGCAAAUGAGGAAUUAACAGAGAAUUACCCAAGUAAAUCAAGGUUCAGAAUUUGUUGUGAACCUCGUGUACUUUUCAUUUGGCUCUCACGAGCUUCUGUUUAACUCAUAUGAGUUUUCGUUUAGCUCUAUUGAGCUUCUAUUUAACCCUUAUGGGUUUCCGUUCAACUCUUAUGAGCUUUCGUUCAACCCUAUGAGUUUCUGUUUAGCACUUAUGUGCUUCUGUUUAGCCUUUGGGCUUCUGAAAAUGAUGUACUCAUAUCCGUAAGCCAUUCUCCAAUUUGGCAAGAUUCGGUAAGUAACUUAUGUAAUUGAAAUCGAAAGACUUAUUGUUUAUUAUUGAUAUUGAUUUGAAGGAAGUGUGAUCAUCGAUUAAGGUUGUGAUUGACAGGGAGAUUGCAUGAAUAAUUUGCUUAUUUGAUUUGUUAUAUUAGAAUUCGGUAAGAUUUAUGUUUAACCCAUUGAACUUACUAAGCUUCAUUAAGCUUACUUGUAUUGUUUAAUGUUAUGUUGGUUUGGAAAUGAAGUAAAUUGAAAUGUGGAUGUGAAUGAUAUAUGUUUGUAUGUAUGUAAUUGGUAGUAAAUUUUAAUAAAUUAAUGAGAUGAACUAAAUAGGUAAGUUUAAGUAUUUGAGUAUAUGUGAUGUUGUGAUAUGUUUAAAACAAGAUUUUGGCUUGUUUUGGUUGCUUGUUUGGGAUGUAUUGAUGAAUCAAAAUGUUGUGUAUAGGUUGAUAUCAAAAUGGGUGAGAAAUGUGACCUUAAAAUGGUUUAUUUUUGUCAACACGGGUAGAGACACGGGCGUGUGGUUUGGCCGUGUGUCCCCUGCAUCCUUUAAAUUGAGAAACAAAAUGCUCAGGUAUUUUCACAUGGCCUAGCACAUGAGCGUGUGGCUUGGCUGUGUGACCCCUGCACCUUAAUUUCAUACCACAGGGUUUAGCACACAGGCGUGUGGCUUGGUAGUGUGACCCAAUUCAGAGAGUUACACGGGUAUGGACAUGGGCUGAGACACGGUCGUGUGCCUCACAUUGAAUGCCCACAUGGCCUAAGACACGGGAGUGUCUCUUGGCCGUGUGAGCCACAUGGCCUGGCCACACGGGCGAGUGUCCCCUACAUCUAAGAAAAUUUUUGAAAUUUUGCAAAAAAUUCCUUGAGUCUUCAGUUUAGUCUCGAUUUAUUUCUAGCGCGUAUUUUGGGCCUCGAGGGCUCACACAAAGGACAAUAUGAAUGAUGAUGAAUAGUUUCUGUUAUGUAUGUUAAAUGGUAUGAGAUAUUUGUAUUUCAUCUGAAAAGCCUGGUAAUACUCCGUAACCCUGUUCCGACGACGGAUGAGGGUUAAGGGUGUUACAAACUCAUAAUUCACUUGAAUUAACAUAAGGUAAGUCAUAAUACAUGAACAACACCAUUUAAAAUCAUCGUUUUCAUGAACAUAGAUAUACUUUCAUUGAACAUUUCCUUUUCAAUCCUUUUCAUAGAUUCAUGACAUAAGCCAUUUGAACACUUAUCAUUCCUUUCCUUUUCAUGUUCGUUGAACCAUAGAAUAACAUUGGAUACGUGGAAAAGCUCACACAAAGUGUGCUAAUUAAACAUAUAACAUUUCCUUUCCUUUUCCUUUACAUCGUUGCUCAUACAAGCUGUGAAAUGGGUUUGCUCACACAAGUUGUAGGUCAAAACGUAAGCUACACGAUGCUACUCACACAAGCUGUAGAGUAUCCGUAACAAAUGUAGGAUCUCAGCCAUCGGUAGGACAUUCAAGACCAACACUCGAAACAACCCUAAUGACAUGUCAUUGUAUCCUACGUAUUCCUAAGGUUCAAACGGGGUUUGAUAAUCAUCGUAACAUCAUUGGAUUUUCACCAUUUAAUUUCAUGGCAAAUAACACAUGAAUAUAUAGAUCAAUAUAACAUUAAGACGUUAUUUAAUCAUACGAACUUACCUCGACAAACAAAAUGUAAAAACGUAGUCGAUCAAUUUGAGGCUUUUGCUUUUACCUAAUCUAAAUCCGUAGGAGGUCUAUCUUGAUGUAAAUAGAUAAAUUUAAUUCAUUUAAUAAUUCCAUUACUCAAUUCAAUCCAUAAUUCAUAUUUUUGCAAACUUAAAAUUUUACCCAUAACAUUUUAACUUCUUUACAAUUUAGUCUUUAAGCUCGUAAAUUGAAAUUUAAGUAAUUUCAUUCUUAAAUCAUGCUAGCCGAAUUCACUAGGGACAUCUACCAACUUAUGCAAAUCACCAUUUCAUGAAUUUAACAUAAAAUUUUAUUAUUUUAAAAAUAAGUCCCUAAAUAACAAUUUCAUCAAAAAUCCCUUUACAAAACUUGUUUAUUUAACAACAAUAACUCAUAAUAUUCCAUCAAACACCAAAAAUCAUGCAAGAAAAUUCAUGGAAAAAAUCCUAACUCUUUAAAAAAUUUUCAAAUUGACCCCCGGGCUAGCUAGAUUAAGCUAGAACGAUUUUGAAAACAUAAAAAUCACUAAAAACUAACCUAAAAAAUGAUCACAUGCAAGAACAUUGCUAGCCGAAUCCUCAAGGUGUUAAAAUGGAGGUUUUCUUCUUUAUUUUCGGUGAUUAAAAUUCUUUAGAAAGAUGAUACCUUAUUUUACAUUAUUUUUGUUUUAAGUUAAUUUAUUAAUUUACAAAUUUAACCUUUAUUUAACACCAAAAUUUCAUUAAUACAUAGUCAUAUACAUCCGCUAACCUCAUGAAUGGUCUAAUUACCAUAUAAAUCCUUUCAUUUUAAAGUUUCAUAGCUAUUUAACACCUUUAGCUAUUAGAACUCCACUUUUGUUCUUUUUAUGAUUUAAUCCUUUUCACAUAAUUAAGCAUGCAAACGUCAAAAUUUCUUAACGAAAUUCUUAUACAACCUCACUAACAUUCCAAAGACAUUAGAAUAAUAAUAAAAUUAAAUUUUACUUGUCACGUUUGUGGUCCCGAAAUCACUAUUCUGAUUUCACUGAAAACGGGCUGUUACACUUACAUUCCAUAUUAAACACUUAAGGCAUCGUCUAAACAUUUACCAAAUAGAUAUAUGCAUUCAUAUAUGAUCACAAGUAAUUCAUCAUUUCAUAUAAGCCAUUUAAGAUUCAAAUUCAUUUACACAAUUCAACCAUUUGACCAUUUUUAAUUCACCAAUCUAAGUUCAAAUAUGGACAUGAUCAUGUAAUAUGUGAUAAGUGCUAAACGUAACAUGUUUUAACCUCAUUCUUAAUGCGUUUUUGGGUGAUUAUUUGAUGUUAAUUGUGAAUUUAUGCUCCUAAUCCUUUAAAUUCAUGUUUUUAUGCUUUAUAGAGCAUUUGGGAGCAAAAGAAACGAAAAACGAAAAAUGAGAGUAAGCUACAGAAGCCACACGGGCUGACCCCUUUUACACAGCUUGUCCACAUGAUUGUGUGAGCCACACGGGCUGCCACACGGUCAUGUGACAGGCUGCAUCGAUUUCAUGAAUUGGCACUCUGAAUUGCGGGAAAACACAAUUUUUAAGGUUUUCGGGCAUUCUAAGACGUAUAUAUGACAAAAAUAAGAAAAUAUGAGUGAGUCAUCAUAGAAUAUUCAAGAAAACAACUCGAAAAACACCAUUGAAGCCAAUUCUGAAGCAGAUUUCCAUCAAGAUUGGAGAUUUCCAAUUGAUUUCUUAGGAGAUUAUCAUGAGUUUCUUUCUUUCUUUCAGUUAUAUUGCAUCUUAGGUGUUUUUAUUUUCAAGCAUGAACUAAUUUUCUUAAUACUUAGGGGAAAUGAACCCUAUGAUGAAUUCUUUCUUUUGAUUUUUAUUUUAUUCAAUAAAUACUUAGAUUUUUUUCUCAAUUAUGUAUGAUUAAUUCUUGGUCUGAUAUUUCUAAAUUAUUGAUCAAUGUUUGAUGUGCUUAAAUUAGAGGAGGAAUAGGCCCUGUUUAAAAGUAGAUCUUGCGUAAUUGAGUGGAGUUGCAUGCAAUCAUAGAAAUAGCACAACAUAAAUCGAUUUAAUGCGAUAAUAGGGGUUUUAAUUAGAAAGAAAUUUCAAUUAAUUAACCUAGAGUCAGUUGCUCUUACUCUCAAAAGGGAUCUUAGCAUAAUUUAGAGAUUUCGACAGAUCAAGUUACUAAGUAAAGAAAUUGCAUAAUUUAGAUUGAUAAUGAAAGAUGAAAUCUAGGGGAAUUCUUUCCUAGGUAUUAUUUCACUUCUUGGUUAUUAAUCAUUUAUUUUUGUGAUUUGUUCUUUGUUGUGUUCAUUAGUUAAUUAAUUUAGUUAAUUUUAGUUUUUCGUCAAUCACUCAAUUUAUUCAGUUAAAUAAUAGAAAGACAGUAAUUACUAGUACUUUUAGUCUUCAUGGGAACUAUAUCUUUGCUCACCGUAGCUAUACUAUUAAUUGAUAGGUGCACUUGCCUUAGUUAGAUUUUUAGUUAGUUUCGUGGACAUCAAUACGCAAAAAUUGACUCAACCUAGGUACAUGUCAUAUGUUUAACCAAAAUGAGACUAUACAAACAUUGUUGAGCCAAUGGUCAUUGCGUAGAUGCUGGAAUUACUUCUCGUAACCUUGAGAUACACCUGUACCUGUGCACGAAAUAAACAAAUCAUAUGCUGAGUGAUAAAGCUCAGUGGUACUUUCAUGAUUCAAGAUAAUUUAUCUUAAACAUUAGUGUCGAAACCACCUUUUUGAAAACAAAAAUUUAGUUGUCGACUUUAAAAAUAAAAAUUAGAGUCGCCACCGAUCCUUUAUUAAGGUGUGAUCGGCUCACCUUAAAAUGAUUUUGGUCUACGAAUUUUGAGAAAACGAGUUCGGAAGUCAGUUACGCACGAGGAAGGGUUAGCACCCUCGUAACGCCCAAAAUUGGUACCAAAUUGAUUAUUUAAUGUCUUAGUGUCGAAGAUUAAAAAGAUUUUUAAAAUCAACUCAAAUGAUGGAAUUUGAAAAAGGAUAAUCAAUUGUUCAAGUCAUGUGAAGAAAUCGAGUCCCAAUACGUUAGGGUACAAUUCCUCAUAAUCCCCGAACUUUGAAUAUCACUUCAUUUUAUGUGAAAAUCUUCAUUUUGAGAAAAAAAACAUGCCACACCCAAUACGUUAGGACACAACAAGUUAAGUUCCCAAAAAUGAUUUUUACGCUCAUGCAUUUUGAAUAAAGAAUAUCUUCGGUUAUUUAAGAUUAACAAAGAAAAUCAGAACCCAAUACGUUAGGGCUCAAUUUCCCUUGAAAACCCCAAACUUCGAAUAAUGCUUUUAUUCAAAAAAAACUUUGAAUCGAGAGAAAAUAAUUUUGAUGUAUUGACAAAACCAAAUAUAUUUUCCCUUUUUUAGAAAAAUGAUAAAAAGUUAAUAUACCUCAUAAAACAAAUACUUUAACAUGAGCUAAAUAUAUAUAUAUUUACAACAAAUGUAUAUAUACAUAAAUACGUACAACAUGUAAGUAAAUUUGGAAAUACGUGUAUGCAUAAUAGAACACAUACAUAUAGGUAUACUUAUAAAAACAAUGAAAUAUGUAAAACCCAUAAUAACUUCUAAGAAAAUAUGUAUGUUUAUUUUACAAAAAUUACAUGUAUAUGUACAUAAUAGCAGAUUAUAAAAACAAUAAAAUAUUUAAUGAUUUUAAAGGAAAAACAUAUACGUAAAUAUAUUAUAGAAAAUAUAUGUGAACUUUAAAUUAUAAAAUGUAUAUGCAUUAUAAGAUAUGAGAAUGGUGAAAAUAAAAUAAUAACAAAUAAAAUAUAAUAUGUACAUGUGAAAUAUAUAUAUAUAUAUAUAAUUAUGUAUAUCUAUAUUUACAAAAUAAAGAAAUGUGUAAGUAUGUAUAACAUAUAAAACAUAUGAAAGAAAAAAAAGAAACAAAAAAAAACUAUACAAAAAGAAAUUUUGAAAAUGUACGAACGAAAUAUAUGCAUGCGUAUAAAACUUAAAAAAUAUAUAUAUAUUAAAAAAUGCAUACAUGUACAUAUAAUGAGGCUGGGCAUUAAAAAUAUACAUGUUGAUAAUAAUAAUAAUAAUAAUAAUAAUAAUAAUAAUAAUAAUAAUAAUAAUAAUAAUACAAAAAUAACAUAAUGACUAAUUUGAAACUCAAGCAAAAUUUAAGAAUAAAUUUGGAAUAAAUACAAAUAUAGGAACCCUAUUGAACACGCACAAAACAGAGGGGGAUCAAAUGGGAUAUUAACCCUUUUCCCUAAAAUGUUGCGUUUCAAUGGGGAUCCAAAUGAAACGGAAAUAAAGCGCGUGGCCAAAUUUAAGAGAAACAAAGAAAUUGAUUUAAACACACUUUUAAACACUCAGGGACCAAACGCGCAAAUGUACCAUCUAGGCCCAAGACGCGCGGAUCCUCCCCUCCGGGUCGGGUCACCGCGCGGGUUUGCCUUAGCCGAACGACACCAUUUCGGUGUCUUUAUUUAAAGCAGUUUUUUCUAAAAAAAACAGAACAUUGGCAGCAGAGAAAAAAAAAGUUCUUUGCUAGGGUUUUUUAACCCCCAACCCCCACUGCCGCCAUUCUCAGGCGAGCCAAUUCCCAGCACACCGCCAAACUCCGAUCUGAGCAAGGCGAACGUGGUUCAACGGCGAAUCCUCGAAGGUAUUAUCCCUCUCCUCUUUUGUACUGUUUCUUUAGAAAACAAAAUAAAAUAAUAAUAAAAAGAAUAGAAAAUGUAAAAACCCAAUUCACCUUCAAGAAAUUUUUCCUCAGUAUUUCUUUUUAUUUCUUGUAUAUCUCUCACACUGAAAAAACAAAAAUUUCCUCCCCUGGUGCAAAUUUUAAUUGGCUUUUAAAUAGCCGAAAGUAACAAAAAAAAUAAAAAUCAAAACAGAAAAUCCCUUCUUUUUUGUUAUUUUUUCCUUGUCGUUGGUGCCUUGUUCCUGUUUAUUGUUGCAGGUGCAAGACGAGGCGCACGUGGAGGCGCGAUUUGCGCGGAGAGGGACUCUGGCUGCUGCGGUAGAGGCGGCUGCGUAUAGGGGAGGCUGGUUUAGGGUUUCAGCAAACUAAUUUUGCUGGGCUAGGGUUCGAAAAAAUGGUUGUUGGGCCAUAUAGGUUAUUGGGUUUGGGCCCAGGCACUAUUGGGCUUGUACAAGCAAAUGAUCACAAAGUAUAAAUACAUUGCUUAUCCAAUUUAUAUUCUAUCAUGCCAAGCAGUUCCAUUAUCAAUUAUAUAUAGAAGCAUACAUAUGGUAAUUAGCAAAUCAAUCCAUUCAUCAUUGCAAUAGAAUUGACCAAUUCAUUCUAGAUGUCAAAUGCCAAAGUCUAUAUCAUUUAAGCAUUCCAUACCAUUUGUGAAACAAAUAUAUAUAGCUUAUAGCUUUAACAUUAAGGCAUCCAAUUCCAUGAUCAAUUAACAUAAUUUAAUCAUUUAGCUUUCGUAUUCAAACAUGAAUUCAACAUCCAUACACACGUCAUUGACAUUAAGUCAUCCAAAUCUCAUGAUUUAUCCACAUCAUUUACCUUUUAACUUACCAUUUAAUCCCUUUUUGGAGUCUACCAAUCUAUUCCUACUGAUUUCAGCCUUCAAGGUUCGUUUCCAACCAUUUUCAUAGUUUCUUUUGUUUACUCUCUUUAACACAAAUCACAUAUAUCACGAGUCACAUAAAAGCACACAUAUAGUUCCAUAUACAUUUAUCAAUUCACAAACUCAUAACAAUUUCAUAUAAUUCAUUUUGAUUAGCAUAUUCUAUUAUCAAUCUAUUUCAUUACAUUUCCAAGUUUCCAAUUUCAUUUAUAAUGUUUUGACUGAUGGAACCUUAGUAAAACAAACUCGGAUACACUGGUGAACUAAGUUGCUCGUCCGAGUUGAAAUUACAUCAAGUUAUCGUUUGGGCUAAACUAUGUCACAUAUUACAUGAGAAUUCAUGACAAGGGUUGGAUCUCGUUAUAUUAGUCGAGAAUCUGCAACAAAUUCUAGAUCUUAUUAUAAUCUAUAAUAAUCUCCAAUCAAGUGCACAUAUAAUCCUAUUGACAUGUUAAUCUAUUCUAGCCUUUUACUAAGUUUACAUGGGCAACAUUUAUACAUAUAUGCAUUGUCAUAAUUGUAAUCAUUCUUAUUCACCUGUCAUACCUGAUUUUCGAUCGCAUUUGCAAUUUCUUACCCUGUACACUAUUCUAUCGCAUGACAAUCAUUUAUUUCAUUUCAUUUCAUUUUUAUUUAAUCCAAUUCAUAUAUAUAAUUUCACAUUCAGUAUCACAAUUUCAUUCCAAUUCAUCAUCAGCACACAAUUAACUUAUACACUAUAUAACAUAUUCAAUCCAUUCUCAUAUUACACAUCAUGUUCUUAAUAAAUCAUAAUAUUUUUAAUUUUAUUCAAUUUAAUCCUCGAUAAUAAUAUCAAUCAUAGCAAAUCAUAAGAUUAUUAUUAAUUCAUCUCAAUAUACCAUCAUAAGUAAUUAAAUGAUAGUAUAGAUUGAUUGAUUGAUAGAUAGUAAAUAUAAAAAAAAAACAGUUAAAUAGCUACAAUUUCUAUGACAUAGAAAAUGUAAAAAUAAUAUAUAUUUCAUGAGAAGUUCUAAAAACAGUCAAUUUUAUAUUGGGCCAAAGAAGAACUUUUCUUUUCUUCGAAACCGCGAACAAAAUCAGAUCAAAAUUUACCUUUCAGAAGAAAAAAAGGUCAAAUUGCCACUCCACAAAAAAAAUUGCAAUUUUUCAUUCCAACCCCUUACAUUCUCCUGUGUAAACCUGAAAAAGAGGUCCAAAAUUUCUUUAGUGUUCACUCUUUUCAUUAUUUCUGAAUUUCCAACAUUGGAAUCCUCGACAAGGUAUCACAUUUCGUCACUUGAUCCAUUUUUUCCGACAUAGGCCAUGAUUUAGCCUUCAAGAAAUUGAUAUUUUCAAUCAUGUCUUCUUUGAAGUUUUAGUUUGAGGCUAUUAUAUUUUUAAUUAUUUGGGUUAGAUUUGGUCUCUGGGAUUUCAAUUUUGAUUCCUUUUCUGACAUUUUGAUUUUGUAAUGUCUUUUUUUAAGAAAAGAAGUUACCAUCCCUGGUCCUGGCUCCUAUGAGGCAUUACAAAUUGGCCAUCAAAAAUAUCAUAUAUGAAAAGUUUCUAGCUCCCAGCUGUAGGUGACUCCAGGAUGCACAGACCAUGGGAUUUCCUAAUGUCUUUUAGGUCUACACAUUGUUUCCUUCAUUGGGUCUUUGUUAAUUUUCCAUUAAUGGAAGCUUUAAGGCUGGAAAAUUAUCUUGUUUUCUCAGUUUGCCUUUUUUCGUCCAUUAUCAAGUUGUAAUCUCAAUUUUCUUCUUUUCUAUUAUUUUCUUUCUUUUUAUUGUUACUUUGAUUCCAGGUACAACACGCUAUGAUUGUUUUAACAUGAUUUAAGUUCUUAAUUAAUAAUGAUUUUUAUAAUGAUACUAUAUUUAUGAUAUUGUAUAUUACCGGUAAUUGAUGAUUAACAAAAUGCUUAAUUUUAUACAUUACGUUUAUGCUUCUUCUUAUUGGAUUAUUUGAUUAUUAAGAAUCUGGAAACCUUGCAUGCACUGAAAUUAGUUGCUUUGUUGCAUAAGAAAGGUGAACUUUUCAAACAUGAAAAUUCUCUCACCUUUAAGGCAGCCUUGGAGAAGGGUUUAUAUAUAUAUAUUUGAAUUCAUUUAUGUUGACAUCCUUUUGUUAAUUGCAGCAGAUGUUAUGAUUCCACCAGGGUUGGAUGUCUUGUUUGCAUCGUAGCCAGCCUCAUUGGUGAAGUAUAAAUUUCAUUAUACUCAGAAGCUUGUUUGAAUAUGGGGGAUGUGACUACACAAUCUAGAAAUAAUGGAUUCAUUGGAGAAAUUAUCAAGCCCUCUAGAGGUGCUUUUACAUGUAUGAUUAAUUCUGAAAUUGUGGCUGUUUUGGCUGUCAUGAGGAGAAAUGUUCGAUGGGGAGUCCACUAUGUUGCAGAUGAUGAUCAUCUAGAGCAUUCUCUCAUCCACUCCUUGAAAGAAUUGCGGAGAAAAAUAUUUUCAUGGCAACAUCAGUGGCAAAAUGUUGAUCCAGUUGUGUACCUCCAACCAUUUUUGGAUGUAAUUCAAUCAGAUGAAACCGGUGCACCAAUAACCGGUGUUGCCUUAUCUUCCAUUUACAAAAUCUUAACCAUUGAUGUUCUAGAUUUGGAUAUUGUAAAUGUGAGAGUUGCUAUGCAUAUGAUUAUCGAUGCCGUGACAAGUUGCCGAUUCGAGGUAACUGAUCCAGCAUCUGAAGAAGUGGUGCUGAUGAAGAUACUUCAAGUUCUUCUAGCUUGCAUGAAAAGUAAGGCUGCAACUAGGUUAAGUAAUAAGCAUGUAUGCAUGAUAGCAAACACAUGUUUUCGUAUUGUUCAUCAAGCAAGCUCCAAAGGUGAACUAUUGCAGCGGAUAGCUCGGCAUACAAUUCAUGAGUUAGUUAGAUGUAUUUUCUCUCAUCUUCCUAAGAUUUGUAGUACAGAACAUGAAAUGGUCAACGGAAGCUCAUUAGUUGCUUCAGGAGUGGUAAUUUGAAAUUUUUGUGGCAUAUAGCUCGGCAUUCAAUGUUUCAUUUUGUAAUUUAUGAAAAUUCUUUUACAGGUGGGUACGCAGAAUGAGAAUCACAUGAAUGGAAGUACACAAUUAAAAAGUGGAAAUGUGGGUAUUGAUGAAAGUGAGAAUAAGGAGGAUGCUCAAAAUGGUGAGAUAUUGAUUAUGGCGCCUUUUGGGAUCCCAUGCAUGGUGGAGAUAUUUCAAUUUUUGUGUUCUUUGUUAAAGGUCACUGAAAAUAUUGAUAUUGGCCCUAAAUCGAAUAUGAUAGUGCAUGAUGAAGAUGUUCCACUCUUUGCAUUAGGCUUAAUUAAUUCUGCUAUAGAAUUGGGUGGGUCAUUAUUCAGCAAACAUCCCAAGUUAUUGGCUGUAAUUCAGGAUGAACUAUUUUAUAAUUUGAUGCAAUUUGGCUUAUCCAUGAGCCCACUUAUUCUUUCGACUGUAUGUAGCAUCGUUCUCAAUCUAUAUUAUCAUUUGCGUACCGAGCUAAAAGUGCAGCUUGAAGCUUUCAUUUCAUGUGUGCUUUUGAAGCUUGUGCAAAGCAAGCAUGGGUCUUCAUACCAACAGCAAGAAGUUGCUAUGGAAGCUUUGGUUGACCUUUGCAGUCAACAGAUGUUUGUGGCCGAGAUGUAUGCUAAUUUUGAUUGUGAUAUAACAUACAGUAAUGUUUUUGAAGACAUUGCUUACAUGUUGUCCAAGAGUGCAUUUCCUGUGAAUGAGCCGCUAGCUGCAAUGCAUAUCCUUGCUUUGAAUGGUCUGGUAUCUAUGAUAAAAGGUAUGGCUAAGAGAACCUGUAAUGAAUUGUCUAUUUCGGAGGAGGAUUCAACAAAUUAUGAGGGAUAUGAAGCUUUUUGGACUUUCAAAUGUCUGAAUUACAAUGAUCCUAGUUCUUGGAUUCCUUUUGUUCGUAAAAUGAAACACAUCAAGAGAAAAUUGACAAUUGGAGCUGACCAUUUUAAUCGAGAUCCCAAGAAAGGUCUAGAGUUUCUCCAGGGAAUCCAUCUACUACCAGAUAAGCUUGAUCCAGAAAGUGUAGCGUCUUUCUUUAGGUACACAAAUGGGUUAGAUAAGAAUCUUAUUGGAGAUUUCCUUGGUAAUCAUGGUGAAUUUUGUGUUCACGUGCUUCAUGAAUUUUCUAGGACCUUUGAUUUCCAUGACAUGACUUUAGAUUCAGCAUUACGUGUUUUCUUGGGAACUUUCCGAUUACCUGGAGAGUCACAAAAGAUACAGAGAGUGAUUGAGGCAUUUGCUGAAAGAUAUUAUGAGCAAUCAUCACAUAUAUUUUGUGAUAGAGAUGCUGCCCUUCUGUUGUCAUAUUCACUUAUAAUGCUUAACACUGAUCAACACAAUGCCCAAGUCAAGAAAAAGAUGACUGAAGAAGAUUUUAUUCGUAACAAUCGACUCAUCAAUGGGGGGAAAGAUCUUCCUCGCAAGUACUUGUCCGAGCUUUACCACUCUAUCUGUGAGAAUGAGAUUCAGAUGAUCCCUGAUCAAGGUGCUGGUUUCCCAACAAUGACAUUAAGCCGCUGGAUUAAUGUGAUAUAUAGAUCCAAAGAAAGUGCUCCUUUUAUUUUAUGUGAUUCUCGAGUGCCCCUGUACCAUGAUAUGUUUGCUAUCUUGUCUGGCCCCACUAUUGCUGCUAUAUCAGUGGUUUUUGAUCAAGCAGAACAGGAAAAUGUUUUACAAACAUGCAUUGAUGGAUUCUUGGCCAUUGCCAAAAUUUCAACACACUAUCGCUUUGGUGAUAUAUUGGAUGAUUUGGUUGUAUCUGUUUGUAAAUUCACAACCCUUUUGACUCCAUUGUCUUUUGAAGAUGCCAUUAUUUCCUUCGGAGAUGGUCCUAGAGCAAGGAUGGCAACCACAACUGUUUUCACCAUAGCAAAUAGAUAUGGUGAUUGUAUCCAUAGCAGUUGGAGAAGCAUAUUCGAUUGUGUUUUGAGCUUGUACAAGCUCAGACUUCUGCCUCCCUGUCUAGCUAAUGAUGCAGCUGGUGAAACAGAUUCCUCAUCUGAUUAUGUAUGGAGUAAGCCUGAUACGAGUUCCUUACUAAUAUCACGGACAACUCCUGCAGCCAUCCCCCGCAGGUCCUUCAGCUUGUUUGGUAGGUUCAGCCAACUCUUAUCCUUUGAAGUGGAGGAACCACUGUUGCAUCCAACUCAUGAACAACUUGCUGCUCAACAGUUCCUUCGAGAGAUAGUGCUAAAAUGCCACAUCGACAAUAUAUUCAUGGAUAGCAAGUUCCUCCAAGCAGAGUCUUUAUUGCAGCUUGUUGAGGCUAUCAUCUUGGCUACAGUUCAAUUCAGCAAGGGAAGUGACAUUAUAGAAGAUGAAGAUAGUGCCGUGUUCUGCCUGGAGUUGCUGAUUUCUAUUACUCUAAAUAAUCGGGAUAGGAUUUUGAUUAUCUGGAAAAAUGUUUACAAGUUUAUAUCAGAUAUUGUUCAACAGAAGGCAAUGCCUUGUGCUCUAGUGGAGAAAGCUGUGUUUGGGCUCCUUAAGAUAUGCCAACGUUUGCUUCCUUACAAAGAAAAUUUAACUGAUGAGCUUUUAAAGUCAAUGCAACUAAUUUUGAGACUUGAUGCUCAAGUUGCUGAUGCAUAUUGUGAACCUAUUACUCAAGAAGUUAUGCGUCUCGUAAAAGCUAAUGCGUCUCACAUCAGAUCCCAUUCUGGUUGGCGCACAAUCAUCUCCUUGCUAUGUAUCACUGCUCAACAUCCAGAAGCAUCAGAGUUUGGGUUUGAGGCUCUAGCAUUCAUCAUGUUCGAUGGGGCACAUCUUUUGCCUUCUAAUUAUGUUCUUUGUGUGGAUGCAGCAAGGGAGUUUGCUGAGUCUUGGGUUGGACAGAUUGAUAGGUCUAUUUCUUCCUUAGAAAUGAUGGCAAGUUCUGUUGUUUGUCUCGUAAGAUGGUCUUACGAAGCCAAGAAUACUGUCAACGAAGAGGCUGCUAUGAAAGUGAGUAAGGACCUUGGAGAGAUGUGGCUGAGGUUAUUGCAGGCACUGAAGGUUGUAUGUUUAGACCAGAGGGAGGAGGUGCGAAACCAUGCUAUUUUAAUGUUACAACGGUCUUUUGCAGGUGUUGGUGGAAUUUACAUUCCGAACACUAUUUGGUUCCAGUGUUUUAAUCUUGUCGUUUUUACAUUAAUGGAUGAUUUGCUAGAAAUUGCACUGGAGAGCUCCUCUAAAGAAUACAAGAAAAUGGAAGGUACACUUGUUUUAGCCACAAAACUAAUGUUGAAAGCUUUCUUACAAUCACUUGAGGAAUUGUCACAGCAAGCAUCCUUCUGCAAACUAUGGCUCGAAGUUCUCGAUCGUAUGGAGAGAUAUAUGAAGUUUAAGUUCCGAGGAAAGCAUAGUGAAAAAAUUCAUGAAUCAAUCCCAGAGCUUCUCAAGAAUACCCUAUUGGUGAUGAAAACAACUGGUAUUCUCAUGCCUAGUGAUGAUGUUGGCAGAGAUAGUCUUUGGCAAUUGACAUGGCUAAAUGUGAAGAAGAUACUCCCAUCUUUGCAAUCUGAAGUGUUCUUGGAACCAGAAUUGGAGCAGAUGCAAGCAAAACACAAAAAGAUAUAUGGAAUUCCCGCAACCAAUGAGACGAUGCUCAUUCCAUCAAAUGAGACCACAACAUGAAGAACAUGGUUCUAACUGGAAAAAUCCUAGAGUAUAAUAUUUGUUAAUAUGAUGUAAAUGGCAUUCAUACCCUGCAUACUAUACAUGUUUCCCCGUUGCAAAAAAGUCAGGAAUCCAGAGCCGAAGCUGCAAAAAAGGAAGUAUACAUCGAAAUUGAAGUUUCAUAAUGUGGUUCUUGAAUCUUAUCUUGGUCGGAAAAAAAGCCUUCAUUUUUCCACUCUCUGAAAUUUCAUAGUGUUGGAAAGAUUUUGUAGAAUGCAUUUAUUCCACCGUAGGAUAUAAGCCUAUUUUUGUAUUGGCACAUAAAAUUUCCUUAUUUGUAUACUUUUUACUCAUGAAAUUACAAUUUCUUAGUACAUCUAAAAUUUUGACAACUUGAUGCAAGUUUUUACACACACAUUGUAUGUACUUUUUUUAAAGCUUUCCCUUAAAAUUUAGUACUAUUGGCUGAAUGGUUAAAUACUUGUAUCUUUCUUGGCUUAACUUAGAUUCAACUAAUUAUGUUAAAUAUAUUUUAUUUAUAUAAUUAUGUUAAAUAUAUUUUAUUUUUUUAAAUCAACUAAUUUUUUGAUAAAUUUUUCUUUAUAUAUAAUUUUUAUAUGUUAAAUAUUUAGUUUUUUUCAUGUAUAUUGUUGGUAUUGUAAAUUCUAAUAUUAUAAAAUCAAUUAAUUAUUUUAAAUAUAAUUAUUUUUAGUAAAUAUAAUUUUUAUAUGUGAAAUAUUUUUUUCCACCUACAUCGUGAGUAUGAUAGAUUCUAAUAUUAUAAAAUCAAAUAAUUAUUUCAAGCAUCAUUAUUUUUUUAUAUUUAAAAUAUUUAAAAUAUCAUUAUUUUUAUAUGUGAAAUAUUUCAAAUAUCAUUAUGUUAUGUGAAAUAUUUCAAUUAAUUAUUUCAAAUACACAUACAAAAAUAUAUAAUACUUAAAUUUACCAUCCAUAUAUAAAAUCAAUUAAUUAUUUCAUAUAUCAUUAUUUUUAGUAGAUAUAUAUAUAAUUACUUGAUGUUUUUAAAAAAUAAAAUAUAUUUAACAUAAUCAUAUAUAUAUAUAUAAUAUUUUUAUUAUAUAAUUACAUAUUUAUUAUUUUAUCUAAAUAAAUAGAGAAUAUAUUAAUUAAAAACAUCAAUUAAAAAUAAAAUAAAAACUUAAAACAUUUAAUUUAAAAAGCAAAAAAGGUUGAAAUAAGAUGUUUAAAUAAAGAAAGAAAAAAGGAAUUUCAACAUGGGUUAGUAAGUGAAAGCGUUAAGUGCUUUUCUAAAAAUGCUACAUAACGUGUUUUUGUCCUCUCAACAUCAAAAUGAUUUAUUUCCCUAAAUAAUGUUAAAAACUGUUUAUUUCCCUAUUUCUUUUAAAAGUAACAUUUAUAACUAAUUUUGCCAUCUAUAUUAAUAUAUUUAAUGGUUAAAUUUUUUUACAUAAAUAAAUAGUUCAAAAAUUUUACUUUACUCCAAACUUAAAUAUAAAUAAAACAUGAAAUAUGAAUAUUAAAGUUAUUAAAAUAUUAAUUAUAAAAAAUAUAAUAAAAAUAUGUAAAUCCAUGUUAAUUUUAUACUGAUAUUAGUGGAUGCCUUUUGUAUUUUUUUUAAAAAAAUUGCUUUCAUUUCUAAUAUAAGGAGCAACCUAGUCAACAACUUUGUUACCUUUCCUGCCUAUAUGAGAAAAAGAAGUCGAAGUAAAACAAAAACAAAUAGAUAAAGUAUGUUGAACAAUGGCAAAAAGUAGACCAUAACUUCAAAAGAGGAAUGCAAGUUGAGUCUAAAGAUGAUAGGUAGACGAACAUAUCCAAAAACAAGGUGAGUCUAUCCUUUCUUGCGAGCUUUUAGGCACUCCGAUCAAACAGCCAAUGCUUCCGCAACGUCAAUGGAUGACGAAUGAUAAGAUCAACAUAUUCGUCCAAAAUAAUUUUAGUAUCAUCCCUAAACAUCACUCCAACACUAAACUUGCAUGUAUUUGGAUCAAAAGAUGCAUCACAAAUUCCCUUUUCACAAUUAAAGGCGAUGGUGGAGUCAGAAAUAUUUUUUUGGAGUACUAAAAUUAAGUUAUAUAUUUUUACAAUAGUAAAUAUGUAAUUUUAUCAUUUUAAUAGUCUAUAUCUUUAUAAUUUUUUAAGGAUUAAAUCAAAUUUUUAUUAUUUUGGAAGGCCAAAGUAAAAUUUUACCAUUAUUAAUUUAAAAUUUUAUAAUUAUAAAGGGCCUAAAUAGAAAAUUUUCCAUUUUAGGGGAGGCCGGGGCCCCUUCCAAUCCCCUAGCUCCGUCACUGCACCCAAGCACUCAAUUGAUUCUUGUUACGAGGGGUAGUGAAAGUAAUCCUAAGAUCAUUCAACUUAGUGAAGUCAAAUAAGGCAUUAUGGCACACUUCUACUAGGUUUGAAUUAGUUCUUUCAAUGAUGAACCAGUUACGAGCCUUCCAUAAAUGCCAACAUAGGUACCCCCCAAGACUUUUUGAACAAAAGGAUUUGAAGGAGGGAAUAAAGCAUUGAUACUAUCCCACCAUUCUUUGAGAUUAGAGAACCUCUCACAUCGUGGACAGUAAUUGAAACCUAAAGCACCUGAUGUUGCACAUGCUAAGGGGCAAAAAACCAACACACCUUAAAUAGUCUUGAUUUCUUCAUCACACAUUGGGCAAAGAGGAUCUACAUCCCUAAACCUUUUGCACAAGUUUUUUUUUAGUAGCAAUAGCAUUAUGACAUAUUGUGCUUGACUUUAAGGGUUGUUUAGAGUUUCUAAAGUCAUUUCCAUCAAUUCGAAGAAGCCUCAGACAAAGAGUUAGAGUUACUUGAUCGUGAAGGAUCUGCAUGAGAAGAAGAAAGAUAUUAAUAUCCAAAUCGGACAUAGUAACAACCAUUUUUUGAGAAAUGCCAAAUAAGGUUACCUUUAGUUUCAAAAUAUCUGAUAGAAAUUCUUUCAAUGGUUUUGCAUUCCUCAUGAUUAAAAAGUUCACGAAUUAGAUUGGACUUCCAUGCUAGCCUUUCAUAAUCAAUAAGGUCUUUUUUUAGCAAUGGACUUGAUGCAUUAGAAGAUAGAAAAGAAGUGACAUGAGAAGAAGGUUACCUUACGCACUUGAGAGUGUUUUGAAUAAUGGGACUGUGGAAGAGAUCCCUGUAUUUUUUAGAGCUGAUCCAGAGUAAUGUCCAAAACACGCUUAAUGCUCUAAGCCUAGGAGUAAUAAGAAUCAUUGUGUGAGAUAGGCUUAUGUCCAAUAUCUUUAUUUCAAUAAAAUGCAUCUUUGUUUCUCAAUUCGAGCAAAUAUUCUUUUAUUGUUUCAAUUUCAUUCAUAAUCAUACUAUACAUAUAAAUAUUCUUAGAUUCUUUUAUUCUUUGGAUCUUUCUUCGUCCCUAUAACAGGUCUCUAGAUAUCAAUGAUAUGAGUGACACUGCUAUUGACUCAAAACCUCCUUUUGAGCAAGAUAUGUGUCUAGAGGAACCUCGGGGCUUUAAAGAUGGUCGAGACUGCAACUUAUCUCCUGAUUUGUUAAGGAUGGUAGAGCAAGAUCCUACCUUACAAAGAAUCAAUGGAAGCCAUGGCCUUUCUCUAUGUGGGGCACGGAUGUCAUUGGACCAAUCUCGCUAAAAGUUUCUAGCAGUCAUUGAUUCAUCUUUGUGGCCAUCGAUUACUUUACUAAGUAGGUGAAAGCUACUUCAUAUGCCAAUGUCACAAAGUCGACAGUCAGCGAAUUCUUAAAAAAAUCAUAUGUCAGUAUGGAAUUCCAAAAAUGAUCAUAUCUGAAAAAUGCACUAAACUUGAACAACAGUACGAUUGCAGAAGUUUACAGUCUGUUCAAGAUUAACACUAUAUCGCCCCAAAGUGAACAGUGCAGUGGAGGCAAAAAAACAAAAAAAUAAAGAAAAAACAAAAAAGAGCCUCUACCGGGGUUACGAUUUUCUCUUUGACUUAUCGCAAUUUUUCCCAUGGAAGUCGAGAUUCCUUCUCUCCGAGUUUUUUGGAUCCAAUCCUGAUUGAAGAGCAAGGUUCAAAUUUAUCUGUCAUGGUCAAAUAUACCAAAAACAAAUGAUGCGAGCUCACCAAAAGGGUUCGCGCCAGAAAAUUCCAUGAGGGGGACCUACUAUCGAAGAAGAUCCUUCCUAUACAAAAAGGACUUCAGAAGAAAGUGGAUGUUAAAUUGGGAAGGACCUUUUGUGAAAGGCCUUAUUUGGAAAAGCGUCGAUAUUGACCAGGAUGGAUGACAAGAACCUGCUUAACCCUGUGAAUUCUGAUUCAAACAAGAAAUACUUUAUUUUAAAAAAAAGAAAAAAAGAAAAAAAAAAAAAAGAAAAAAAAAAAAGAAAAGAAAAGAAAAAAGAAAAAAAGAAAAAAAGAAGAAGAAAAAGAAAAGAAAAGAGAAAGGAGAGGCCAAGGCAAAAACCCGCAAAGGGAGCAUUGAGACCAAAUAAGUUUUGAAUUGAAAACCUAGGAAAAGGAAAAUUCAAAUUUUAAUUGAAGGUGGGGCAUGCGGUAGUCUUACUAUGCCUGAAUUAGCAAGAAGGAGGGAUGCUACAUCUUAGGGCAUCAACAAAGCAUUUUGAAUCUUCGAAACACAUAACAAGUCAAAAAGGUCCUCAAAAAGUUUGUGCGGAGAAGCUUAUACUGCGAUAUUUGGGCCACCUGUUUUUAUCUUAUUCAUUUCGUAUCUUAGAAAAAUUUGCUAUCUUAAUCAAUUUAUUCAUUUCGAGCUUUGAUUUUAAUAAAAUUUCAUCUUGUCCAUUGUGAUAAUCUUUUUCAAGUAUUUUCCAUUGAAAUAACGAUUAAUGGACUGAUAAUAUUCAAGCAAAAGGAGUUCUGCAUAUUACUCUGAAAGCUUCUAAAUAGUACGAGGACCUGAAACAGGACUAUUGUUUAGAAUUAACCUAAAGGUUGGCAACAUUUGAGAAAGAAUGGUCUAAAUUGAGACUAUUUCUUUAGAUUUUCUGUUAAAGAUACCAGCUAAACAAGAAGGCAUGGUAACACAUCAAUGAUAGAGCCUUGAUGAACAAAGAGCAAUGACAACUUAAGCAUUAAAGAGGGAUCAUUCUCGAAAAAUGACAUUCUGCAUUCAUGUAAAUAUCAUUCAUACAUAUCUAGUGAGGAGUAUUUGAUUCAUUCUGAUCAUGACAUCCUAAUCACUAGGCAUAAAUAGGUCCAUAAAAUAGAUUCUACAUGUCAUGUUUCCCAAAGAAUAGAUCAGUGAAACCACAAAUCCUAUACCCCUGAAGUUGCAAUGAGAUGGAUUGAAGUUAUCAUGGCGAAUCUUAUCUCCCUAAAGUUGUAGUGGAGCAGAUUAAAGCCACAAACCUUAUCUCUCUGAAGUUGCAGUAGAGCAGGUUGAAGUAACAAACCUUAUUUCCCUGAAGUUGCAGUGGAAUAUAUUAAAGCUAACAUAUUUUAUCUCUCUGAAGUUGCAGUAGAGCAGAUCAUAUCAAACCUUAUCUCCCUAAAGUUGCAGUGGAGCAGAUUGAAGCUACUAAUCCUAUCUUCCUAAAGUUGUAGUGGAGCGGAUUAAAAUGAUGAAUCCUAUACCUCUGAAGUUGCAGUAGGUCGAAUUAAAUCUACCAUAACAAGUCUUAUCUCCCUAAAGUUGCAGUCGAAUUAAAUCUACCAUAACAAGUCUUAUCUCCCUAAAGUUGCAGUGGAGCAGACUGAAGAUAACCAACCUUAUCUCUCUAAAGUUGCAGUGGAGCAGGUUGAAGAUACCAAUCUUAUCUCUCUGAAGUUGCAAUGUAGCAGAUUGAAGCUACUAAUCCUAUCUCCCUGAAGUUACAGUGGAGCGGAUUAAAAUGAUGAAUCCUAUACCUCUGAAGUUGCAGUAUGUCGGAUUAAAUCUACCAUAACAAGUCUUAUCUCUCUGAAGUUGCAGUGGAGCAGAUUAAAGCUGCAAACCUUAUCUCCCUGAAGUUACAGUGGAUCAGGUUGAAGAUACCAAUCUUAUCUCCUUGAAGUUGCAGUGGAGCAGAUUGAAGCUACUAAUCCUAUCUCCCUGAAGUUGUUGUGGAGCGGAUUAAAAUGAUGAAUCCUAUACCUCUGAAGUUGCAGUAGGUCGGAUUAAAUCUAUCAUAACAAGUCUUAUCUCCCUGAAGUUGCAGUGGAGCAGACUAAAACCAUAAAUCUCGUCCCCCUGAAGUUGCGACAGAGUAGAUUGAAGCUACAAGUCAUAUCUCUCUGAAAUGCAGUAGAGUGGAUCAAAGCAACAAGACACAGUGGACUGGAAGGAGGCUACUUAAAGAAGAGAAGCACCCAAAUAAGUCAAGACUCGGCAAGACCGUGCAAAAUUAGCAUUUUGAAGUCUUUGCUCCAUUCUCGUUACACGACAAUGAUCAAAGAGGGGCAGCUAUAAUAGACCAAUUUUGGCCUGGGCCCAAGACCCAAAAAUAAAUAAAAACAAACCAAAAAUAAUAAAACAAUCCCAGUCCAUUACAACAAAAUUAACCCAAAAUACCCCAGCCCAACAAACUAAACUAAACCCAAUUAUAUGCCAGGCCUAAUACCCAAAUCAGACCCAAACCCAGCUGACCCAAUAGUCAAACUAAGGUUUUAGAAAAGCUGAAACCCUAGCUAGCCCUCAGCGCUGCCGUAGCCACUACCACUGCCGCAGCCACCAACUCUACCUGCCAUUGCCAUUUGCGUCUGCAAAGAUCAGAGAAAGAAGUGACAACAAACAAAUAGAAUAAAAAUUGUGUAAAAAUGGCUAUAUAGAGGGGAUUCAAACGGAUUGUAAGGGGUUUUUGGAGAAUACAGAAACUGAUUAAAAAAAAUGACGAACAUUAGAAAAUAAAAAAACAAAAAAACAAUACUUCAGAGGUGAAUCCCUAUUUUUAUUUUCAUUUUAAACAUUUGUUCGAUUCUAUUUUUCAUUGUUUCUUUUUAUAUACAAAAAUGAUAAAAAAAUAAAAAGAAAAGGCUCACCUGAACGCCCGUGACCACCUUGCCGGGGAUUCUUUCUCUGCCACCGAAGUUGGGUUUAAAAAAGGGUAUAGGGUCAUUUUCUUCACGAUUUUCUGGACUAGGAAGGCUUCGCCUUCAAAUCCAUUUUAAUAGGGGCUAAAAGCCCCAUUUUUGCGUAGCUCCGACCACCGCCCACAGUGGGGGCUACGGCGGAGGUGUGACGGGCCGACGACGGACUCUAAGGCUAGGCUUGGAACCCUAGCAGAGAAAAGAAAAAGGUUUUUAAAAAUUUUUUUUGAGGGGCGGCAGAAAUGAGUUUUGAGAAAAAAUUUUGGUUUAAAUAGAGAUACAAAACGGCGUCGUUUUGGGCUAGGGUUAACAAGCGCCAAAACGACGUCGUUUAAGUCUGACCCGCGUGCCGACCCAACCUGCUCCCUAGGAUCCGUGCGUUUUUUAACGGAAGGGCUAAUUGCGCUUUUAGCCCUUCCGCCUUUUUAUUAUUUGCAAUCAAGUUUAUUUCAUUUUUUAAUUUUGCCCUAUAAUUUAUUUCGGCUUUCAAUUUGGUCCACCAUGAAGCUGUGCAUUUUGGAGGUUGGGGAUUAUUCCCAUUUGGUCCCUCCUUGUUAUUCGUGCAUUCAAUUUGGUCCUUAUCUUCUUAUUUAUUUUUGAUUCACCCCAAAAUUUGGUUUUAAAGCUCAAUUUAGUCCUUUUUGUUAUUUUGGCUAUUUCAUUAUUAAAUUAAUUAAUGUAAUAUUAUUAUUACUAUUAUUAUUUUCCUUAUAUAUAUAUAUAUAUUGUUUUAUAUAUAUAUUUACUAUUUUUAUUUAUUCAUUUAAAUACAUAGUUAUUAUUUCUUGGUGCUUUAGUAUUUAAAAUUGCCUUCAUUUUUAUCGUAUUUUUUUGUGUUAUUUUCAUUUCAUUAUUGUUAUAAUUAUAUCGCAAGCCACGUUUAAGUAUAUUCCUUUUACACCAUACUUCAAAGGAAAAUACACGUCAUUCAAAAUUUUAUAAUAAAGAAAAUUUUCAAAAUAAGACAAUGUUCUGUAUUUAGAAAGGUGAGAAGUCAUGCCCUAACUUACUAGGUUUCGAUUUUUUCUCGUUGAACCUAAAUGACCGAAUAUCCUUUUAAAAUUAAAAUAUGUGAGUCUUAAAAAAAUAAAAGAAAAGUUUAUUCUCGAGGAUUUGAGGUGUUGUAUCCUAACUUAUUGGACGUGACAUUUUGUUAUCUCGAGAUAGAAGGGUCUUUAACAUACAUUUUGAUUUAUUUAAGAAAAUUUGCAUUUAUUCUCGUAUCGGGGUUUGAGAAAUUGUGUCCUAACUUACGGGACAUAAUUCUCUUUCUCGAUUAACGUGAAAUAUGCUCCUUUCUCGAAAAUUUUUAAUAUUUUAACAAUGGAUCGUAUUUUAAAUUCUUUUCGAGUUUUUAAUUUUCGACAUUAAGACAUUAAGUAAUCAACUAGGUACCAAUUUUGGGCAUAUCGAGGGUGCUAAUCCUUCCUUGUGCGUAACUGACUCCCGAACCCGAUGUCUGGAUUUUUUGUAGACAGAAAAAUAAUGUUUUAAUAAAUCAAACUAUUUAUUAAAACGAUCAAAUAGCGAGGUACUCCGAUCACACCUAAUAAAAAGGAUUGGUGGCGACUCCUAUAUUUGUUUUUAUUUUCAAAAUAAAAGUCGACCCCUUUUUCAAAAAAAAUGGUUUCGACAUCCACCUAAGGUUUUUUUUCAAAAGAGAAAAACCUUCAAGUAAGCUUUUCCAUGCCCAUGAAGACCCAUUAGAUUAAAGCCUUUAAGCAUGAUGAAAGGAUAGUAAAUGCCUUUCCUGAUACAUGCCCAAAAAGCAUAUGGGAAAGAUAGCAACAACAAAGCUUGUUUGUCUAAAAGAGCAAUAUUAUAAUUUUCAAGUUCUCUAAACCCCAUUCCUCCAUUGUUUUAGCUUGUGCGAGAUGUAUCAACUCAUUUAUUAAUAUCCUCUUUCUUUAUAGUUUGACUUGUCGCAUCAAAAUUUAUUGAGGGUGUUGUUGAGUGAUUGGAAAAAUAUAUUUGGUAAUUAAAAUAUUGCAUGAAAUAAAUCGAAAGAACUAAAGCAACUUCUUUGAAUAAAGUUUCUCGAUCCGCAUGAGAUAAGAACUUUCCUUUUCACCCUUGAGUUAUGACAUGGAUUUUCUCAUGGAUGAAAUCUAAGGCUUCUUUCUUGCUCUCCCCCAUAUAACUUGAAGUUCGAGGUAUUUAGAAUCAUUUUGUAUAUCAUUUACUUCUAUCGUGCCUCUCAAAGAGCAUUUCACCUAUGUUAGCGUAUUGGUAAAAAAAUAUGGAAGACUAGUUGAAGUUAACUACUUGCCUUGAAGCAUUUUCGAAUCGUAGUAGACUGUCAAUAACAUCUACACAAUUACUUUUGUUUGUAACUCUGAAAAUGAGACAAUCGUCCGUAAAAAGGAAAUGUAUCAAAAUAAUUCAUCAAGGUUUGAUUUUGAAACCUUUGAAUUGAUUAUUAUUAAUCGUUUCGUAGAAGAGGGUCGAGGGAGUAUUAACAACAAAAUGAAAGAGAUAAGGUAAAAGUGGAUCACCUUACCUUAACCUAUGAUCAAAAUUCCUUUCCUCUCAUUUCAUUCACAACCAUAGAGAAAAUUGACAUUAGUAAUAUAUUCCACAAUUCUUUGAACCCUCCAUUCAUAAAAACCCCACCUUCAAAAAGAAUUGCUCAAGAAAUCCCCAAUCCACAAAUCAUAAGAUUAAUAGCCAUCAUUCCUUUCUUUUUCUUUUUUUGUUAAUAGCAUGAAAGACUUCAUCUUUUCUAUAAUAGUACUUAAGAAUGCAUACCUUGGGGGGAAAAUUUUAUUGACUAAUAUAUAGUUGCUAAUACGGAACAAAGAACGCAAAGGCUAAUCAUACUAAGAGUUUUACAGAAAAGUAGAACAUUGCUAGGGUGAUAUCGAUUUGGUCGAGUUUUUGAAUUGUCCAUUAUAAUUUUAUUGACUAAUAUAUAGUUGCUAAUACGAAACAAAGAACGCAAAGGCUAAUCGUACUAAGAGUUUUAGAGAAAAGUAGAACAUUGCUAGGGUGAUAUCGAUUUGGUCGAGUUUUUGAAUUGUCCAUUAUAAUUUAGUUCGGUUUUUGAUUUUUUUCAUGUUAAUUUUUUGUAUAGGAUUUUUAGAAAUAUUUUGACAAAAUAAGCUUUGUUUUAUGAAUUUUAAAUAUUAUUUAACAAAAUUUCAAUUUUUUCAUAAAUAUUUUAAAAAAAUAUUAAAUUUUCAAGAAAUUUGAAUUAUUUUUACUAUUUUAAAUAUAAAAUACUUAAUUUUAUAAUAAAAAUUAAAAUAAAUUAUAUAUUAAAUAACAAAAUAAAAUUCAGUUUAAUUUUAAGUAAUAGCUAUUUUUAAAUUUGUAUUUCAAUAACCGUCGGAGUUAAUUUGUGAUUUUUUAGUUUUUUUAAGAGAACCUCGAACAAUACAAUCAAAGUUUAUAGCUUGUAUACGUGUCAAUCACAGACCUCGAGACUCCCAAAAGCAAUCAAAUUACUAAGGUGUGUUUAUCAUCGCCCCCUCACCACUUCCUCACACGAGAAAAACGAUAAACAAUAAUAACCAAAAGAGAUGUCGUUCCGUCUCCUUUUACUUAAAAGGUAAGGAAUAUUGUCGAAAGCCACCGAGCCACGAUCCUCGCCAUCUCAGGUUCUCCCUCGGUCGCUCACUCUCUAAUGUUUUCAACUUUUUUUUAAUAAAAUUUUGUGCUGAUUUUCAAUUGAAUUUCCAUAUUUUUCAGUUGAUUUUAAAGAAUAGUAUUUUAGAAAAAGGUAAUUAAAAGAUGGGUGAAGUUUUCGAAGGAUAUGAACGGCAGUAUUGCGAGCUAUCCGCGAAUCUUUCCAAGAAGUGUACGGCUUCUGGUGCUCUGAAUGGAGGUUAUAAUUCAAAUCUUUAUGCAUAUAAACGAUUUUCUUUAUUUCUUUAAUUUUUUUUGCUCCUGAUUGCUGUUACGUAAUGGCAUAAUCAGUGGUUCUGUUUCUAAUUUAGCGUGAUUAAGGAUGCUCAGGUAAUUUUGUGUUAACUUUGUUGCAACUAUGCUGAUUACAGUUUAGGAUUUAAUUUAAUUUUUGAAACAAAAAGAAUGCUUAAUUGGGAGAUAUUAAGUAGAAUAAAUCAAGAUCGGAUUUACUUUAUCUCUCGUUUUGUUUUUAAAUUCAAAUUUAAUAUAAUUUAAUUAAUAUUCAUGAUUUUCACGAUGUUAUUUUCUGCUUAAAGUAUGUAUUUGUUUAUUUAUUUAUACUUCUUUGUGGAUUUUUCUAAGGCGUUGAUGUAGAUUUGGGGAAAACUCGAACAUUUGCCACUUAAUUUUAGGACUUUGACCUAAAUACAUCUAUUGAAGCAUUUGAAAUGCCCUGAAUUUAGGCGAUAAAGUGAAAUUUAGAACGUGAUUCUGAAGUAUAUAGUGGAAUGCAUUUUGUGAUUGGGAUUAGUUUUCAGUUAUUUAACUGCAUACCGAUAUAUUUAAAAAGCCAUGAAUUGGAAUUUUCCAAAGCAACUUGUAUAACCUUAUCAUAUUUUAGUGUGCGAUGGUGAAGCUUUAAGAAGGCUCUUAGUUUGUUCUUAAUUGCAUGUAUCAUGUGAAUACCUACAACAUGGAAGCGAUGGAAAAGAGUUUGCUAGACAGAGAUUAAGACAUUUGGAUACAAAAAAGAAUAAACAAAGUAAAAAAGGGAAGUCAAAGGAAAAAGCCAUGAAUUGGAAUUUUCUAAAGCAACUUGUAUAACCUUAUCAUAUUUUAGUGUGCGAUGGUGAAGCUUUAAGAAGGCUCUUAGUUUGUUCUUAAUUGCUUGUAUCAUGUGAAUAUCUACAACAUGGAAGCGAUGGAAAAGAGUUUGCUAGACAGAGAUUAAGACAUUUGGAUAUAAAAAAGAAUAAACAAAGUAAAAAAGGGAAGUCAAAGGAAAAAAUUAUCUAUGUUACUCGGACUUAAUGUGAGUGUUGGAUAUAAGUGUGUUUUCGACAUAGGUAUGUUUUACUUCUUUAAAGUUUUCCAAUUUUUUUGGAGUGCCUUUGGAUGGUCAUACACCCAUGCCUUUGUUUGGAUAUCUGUCCAACAUGGGUACUUCAAGAAAAAUUAAGACUUGGAGCAACAUAGUUGAAUUGAAGUCAUCGACUUAUGGCCUGGUAAUAAUGACAUUGAGCUGAUAUGGCUUAUGGUAUACCAUUUAAGGAAUAAGAAAGAUCAAUGUAUGUCCCUGGUGGAAUAAAAAUUUAUUUGGAGUGCCUUUGGAUGGUCACACACCCAUGCCUUUGUUUGGAUAUCUGUCCAACAUGGGUACUUCAAGAAAAAAUAAGACUUGGAGCAACAUAGUUGAAUUGAAGUCAUCGACUUAUGGCCUGGUAAUAAUGACAUUGAGCUGAUAUGGCUAAUGGUAUACCAUUUAAGGAAUAAGAAAGAUCAAUGUAUGUCCCUGGUGGAAUAAAAAUUUUAAGUUACCUUAUUUUAAGAAAAAAACUGUUGUAAAGCUACCUUUGCUUCCACCUGUGUAAGGAGUUUUGUAGAGGUUCAUGUGUAAUUCAUCAGAGGUGUUCAGUGAGAAAUGUUUCCAAUUUCUUUGAGCAUCAGCAUUUCUAAUUAGCCAAUUGUUCUUGUUCCAAUUCUUAAUUGGUUUCCUGAUUUUCAGAGAAGAAGAAACAAAAACUUUCUGAAAUAAAAGCUGGACUAGAAGAUGCAGAAGCUCUGGUACCUGGUUCAUUGCAUGUUUCAGAUUCUCAUUUGUUCUUUCCUUUAUUUGAGUAUUGAACUUGAUAUUGCUCAUUUUGUUUCUCAGAUUCGGAAAAUGGACCUUGAGGCAAGAAGCUUGCAGCCAAAUGUGAAGGCUGUACUUCUUGCUAAGUUACGGGAAUAUAAGUCAGAUCUUAACAAUCUCAAAAGUGAAGUUAAAAGAAUUGCAUCUGGCAAUUUAAAUCCAGCUGCUCGAGAUGAGUUGUUGGAGUCUGGAAUGGCUGAUGCCCUCACGGUAUAUUUUGGUUCUUAUGCCUAAAUUUUUAAUGUGCUGUUGUUCUAUAAUUGUUCUGUUCUUUACGUUUAACUUUUGAUUAGUUAUAAAUGAACAUGCAAUAGGCAUCAGCUGAUCAAAGAUCAAGAUUGAUGACAACUACGGAGCGGUUGAAUCAAAGCAGUGACAGAAUUAAGGACAGCAGAAGAACCAUGCUGGAAACUGAAGAGCUUGGUGUUUCAAUACUUCAAGAUUUGCAUUCUCAACGACAGUCUCUCUUACAUGCCAAUAACACGGUAUCUCUUUACGGCUUAUGUUCUAUAAUACUCUAAACAAGUAGUAUGCUCUUUUUAGCUUUAGUUUUAUCAUAUUGGAUUUGUUGUUUCUUUCCAUCUCUAUUUAGGAACUGUUUGAUUAUGAUGUUAAUUUCAUCCCAAAAAGGCAUCAGCAUGCUACCUUGUAGAAAGCAAGCAUUAUUAUUUUCUUUCUCCCCAUUUUGAGUUACUAUUACUUGAGUUUUUAUGUUGAAGGCUUAUUUAAUAGUUAGACUUAUAAACCCCUUUUUGUUGGUUUAAGUAUCUAGGAGGCUUUGUAAAUUUUAAUGUAGUCCAGAGGUGCAAUUUGUUUUACUGUAGUAUUCAGUAAUUUAAUAUCGCUUUGUUGAUAUUGAUGCAAACAAGUAAAAUUGAUAACGUUCUUAAUGAAAAACAGCCUCAAUGCUGAUGUGAAUUUAUGAAAUUUGAUAAUACAGACUUGUAGGUAAAACAUAUUAUUUUGUCAGAUUUGAAUCAUGUCCACAUUUAGACAGUUUUUCAUUAAUAUUGUGAUCCAUGUUUUACUUGUUUGAACCAAUAUCUAUUGUACAUGAAACAUUGCUUUACCAUAGUACAUGGACUGUCUAGAUGUUUUUAACACCAAUUUAUUACUUGAUUACGGUUAUUUGACCAUAAAUUUUCCCUGUCAACUCUUGUUGUUGAUUGUGAACCUUUCCAUUGCAUGAGCAUGCGAUGUCGUAAGAGGACCUCUUACUCGAUAAUUAAACCAUGGAUUUUAUCUCAUCAAGAUGUAAUGGUUGAUCAUAAACAUCUGAAGUUGGGUUUCUUAUUUGGUUACAGCUUCAUGGAGUGGAUGACAACAUUGGCAAGAGCAAGAGAAUUUUGACAAAUAUGUCGAGGAGGAUGAGCCGGAACAAGUGGAUCGUAGGUAUCAUUAUAUCACUCCUCAUCAUUGCUAUCAUCGUUAUUUUGUACUUCAAACUUGCUAAAUAAUCCCUGUUUGUUUUUAUCUUCAACUCUUGGUUUUUGGGUUUUUUUUGGAGAAGUUUUUUUUUUUUUUUUUUUUGUUUCCCAUUUUGAGUGCCAAUUUGAAAUGUGUGCUUCAUAAACCCAAAGACACUGUAUUAUUCAUCGUUUCAAUUCUAUUUGAUGACUUUUAUGAUAGUUUUGUCCACUCUUGCACAUCAGCUUACAAAGAAAAAGUAGCAUAAUUUGUUAAUGGGUUUAUGCAAACAACAAAAAAUUUCAUCUUAAUUAAAUAGUCUUAUUACAUUUAAUUUCUGGAAAGAACAAUGAAGGUGCAACCGAAAAAUGGCCAAUCCCUUGUUUGAAAGGGAUAAAUCUUAAAACUAUACAUGAACUAUGGUUUAAUGUACAAAUGUAAUAGAUGAAUUUUGAUUUUGUAUAAUUUUAUAUAUAAAAUUUUGAUUUGAUUCACUUUAUGUAAAUUAUUAAUACAAUUAUUGAUAUAAAAUGUUUAUAUGAUGUAUACAUAAAUAAUUAUAUUUAUCUAAUAUAAAAAUAAAUUGAUGUAUUUAUUUUUGUGUGUGUGAUUAAAUUAAAAUUAAAGUUUUAAGUAUACAUUUAGACCAUAAUUAGAGUUUUACGUGUAUAAGUAUACUAAAUUAAAGUUUAUAAAUAAAAGAAAAAUGAAGGUAGAGUUGCUCCCUUCUAAUCCAAAACUGAGCUUUAGGGAAUAGAACAAAAACUACAAAAUUUCCACUUUAAAUUGAUAAAUAAGUCUAUUUUCAUUUAAUUUCUGGGGAUCGCACCUCACCAUGGCUCUUAGUAAGGGAAUAGAAGGAAAACUAGAGGAGCUUCUUGCUCUCAAAAAAUGACUUUAGAUGCCAUAUCUGCAAGCCAGCCACAGACAAGCAAAGAAGCAGCGAAAAGAAACUUAGAGUAGCCAUUUUUGAAUUUGUUUCUUUGUUUAGCUCCUGCAUUUCUUCGUCCCUGUAAAACAUGCAAGUUGAAUAAGGAAACAUGGAAUCCAAGCCUAUGAUGUUUUCCAGACCCUGCAUUUCCCCUAAACUAUCUUCGUCCUCAACUAGGGGAGUCAUGAAUUCACAGCUAUUAUAACAGCAAUGGUUGUUUCAUACCUCUCACGAAGAUAGAACAUCUCUUCAUGAAUGGCUGAUACUGUGUCAUACAGUUUCUUCAACUCAAUUUCCUUUGUCUAGCAUCAAAUGAAACCAAAUAUUAAGCCAUUAGCGGUGUCUAAGACAUAUUCGUAUAAAAAAAAUACUCGUAUUUGACAUUCAUUCACAAAUAAAAAAUCUCAGAAUAAACCUUGGACCAAUCCUUAGCAGCAACACCACUUUUCCAAUCGAACUCAAUGGUCAUCUUGACAGGAGGCUUGUGUUUAUUUGCCCAAAAACAAGUGGUGUAAUCCCCACUCUCUGCUGCUGUAAAUGCAAAUGUACCUGAAUCCACUUGAUCUCCUAGGUGAUAAUUGUUCCCCUUUGGUGAACUCACCCUAUUUCAUCAUUUAUUUAAUUUCGCAAACACAGAAACAUUUAACACAAAAAUCAUCAAAAUUGUUUACAACAUACCCUGACUACCAGUUUAUGAGAAUCAGGAAAAGGUUGACCUUCACUUGGAUUCACAAUGCUGUAUUUCCCAACCGUCAUUGCAUUUGCCUUUAUGUCCUCUGCAAUGCAUUUGGUUUUCCCAGAAUCCAGCUCAAAUCUCAUCGAUUCCCCUAUCUCUGUUUCCACCACUAAUCCUAUCAUUAUCACGAUUAAACCCAGAUUUAAUCCACACAUUCUUGUCUUAGAUUAACAAAAACCAAUAAUCCCUGUUUUUUUUUUUAAUAUGAAACUUCCCAAACUUCGGAUGAGAUAUAUUUUAGUGGCUGAAUCAUAGGAUGUAAGUUCUUUAACUGAUACAAAGUUAGUACUUUUGUAUAAUUUUAAAAGUCCACCACGACAUUUUAGAUGUUUUUUAUUAAGACUUUUCCAAUCAAACAUUACCAUUUGUACAUAAUCUAUACUCUAAACACAAUAAUAUGUACAAAUCAAUUGUAUGAAAGUAAUUUUCACUUACUAUUGGCUCAUGCACAACUCCAAAACAACAGCAGCAACAAAACCAAGGCUUUGAAAUACAAACUCAGUCUUUGUACAUACAUAAUAUGUAAGUAAUUCAUCAGAAAACUUGUAUCCCAAAGCCUUGUUUAUUGCUGGUGUUAUACAAAUGUAUUAUAUGAUAUUGUAUCAUUUAAUCAGAAAAGCUUGGUAAUGAAGAGAGUAUUUAAGUUGAAGCAUUUAUAGAGAUGGAGAAAUGGCAAUGCUAGGGGACCAUAUAUAUUACAACAUUAUGAGUAAUUUUACCAGGAUGGUGACCACAUUUUACUUUCAGAAUCUCUAGCUACCCACUUUAUUCCAUUCCAUUCCAUUUUUUCUUAAAUCAUUGAAUGUAUAUUACGGUAAUUUGUAUUCCAUUAGAAAUAUAUUUUUAUAUAUACACAUCCACUUAUAUCGGUGUAAAAUUAAUACGAUUUACAUCAUUUUCAUAAUUUUUUUUUAGGAUUGAUAUUUAUCCAUAUAAUUGCACAUAUUAUGCAUGUAAAAUUUUAAAUCGAUUAGAUAUCUCUGUCAUAUUGAUCUAAAAUAUUGCCCAUAUUAAAUAUAUAUUUAAUGGUUAAAUUUUUUAUAUAAAGUAAAUAGUUUAAUUUUUUUUUUACUAUAAACUUGACAUGCAUGAUCCAUGAAUAGAAAUAAGAUAUGACGUUUAAAUUGUUAUUAUAUCAAUCCCAAAAAAGGUUAUAAAAGAGAGUAAAACCUUGUUAGUUUUACAUUAUAUAAUUGGAUCCCUCCCCUAUAUGUAUAUCAUAAAAUGAACAUUAAAAAUUAAGGUUUUUUUUUUUAAGUAAAGGUGUUUAUACUCAUGAAAUUAGAAUUUAAUAUAUUCACAUUCAAUCCAAGAAAAGCUUACUUUUGUCCAUGAUGCUUUUUGAAUAAAAAAAAACCCACAUAUGUUGUAGAAAUUGACACUUAAUCUCUAAAUUCUUUAAUAACACAACACUGAUGAAGAAUGUGUAUCUAAUUGGAAUGGGAUAGAGAGGACCAGAUUCAUUAUUUAUAGAAUGUGUAUCUUUCCUAUCAACACUCAUUUUCAUAACAUGUCUCUAAGAAUUUUAAUUAUUCAAAUAGACACAAAUUCAAAUAAUAUAAUUAUUAUUUUUUAAAAAAAUACAUGUUUAACUAAUCAAUUGGAUUUAGAUUUAAAUAAAUUAUUAAAUAAUAUACAAUAAUAUGUAAUAAAUAUCAUAAAGGUCAUGUAAAUUCUUGCAUCCUCCCACUUCGACUCAAAAGUUAUUACUUUCAUGAUUUAACAAUAAAGAUUAUAGAAUUGAAAUAUGCGAUAAGAAUUUUGAAAUAACCUUGUAAUCUUUUUAAUCUAUCAUAAAGUAUUUCAAUUCUUAUCACAUAUGUCGCGUCUCUCAUAUCCAUUUCAAAAUUCUUAGAGAGAAACUUUUUGGUUGCAUAGAAUAAACCAAAAUCAUUAAUGGCUAGCAAAAUAUCGUCAACGUAUAGUGUUGACACCAUUUUUUUGAUGAAAACGGGGUCGACUUGGGUUUUGAAAAAUGAAAAUAAAAACGGGAGUCGCCACCAAUCCUUUUAAAUAAGGUGUGAUUGGAUCACCUCGAAAAUUGUUUGUUUUUAAUAAACGAUUUAAUUUUUAUUAAAAUAACGAUUUUGGUCCACGAAAUUCAAAGAAAUGGGUUCGGGAGUCGGUUACGUACGAGGAAGGAUUAGCACCCUCGUAACGCCCAAAAAUUGGUACCUAGUUGAUUAGUUAAUGUCUUAAUGUCGAAAAUUGAAAACUUUGAAGAAUUUUAAAAAUACGAUCAUAAAAACUUUUGAACAAUAUGCGUCGAAUUUUAAGAUUCUCUUAUUCCGAAAGAAUAUCAUAUCCAGCACCUUAGGAUAUGAUACUUUAAACUCUCGAAACCAAGAUCAUCUUAUGGUUUCCAAAACCCGUACUUUGAAAUUUUUAAAAGGAUAUCAAGCUAUUUGGCUAAACGAGAAAUCGAAACCCAACACAUUAGGACACGUUUACUCGAAUUUCCAAACGCAAAAUAUUGCCUUUAUUAUUUUUUAGAAAAAUCAUCAUCUCGAGAAAACUACAUGUCAUAUCCAAUGCAUUAGGACACAACGUAUUGAAUUCCCGAUAAUGAGCUUCUUAUUAUUUUUAAAAGAGUAAUCUCGAUUAUUUAGAUUCAACGAAGAAAAUCGGAACCCAACACAUUAGGGCUCGAUUCUCUCAAAGAUCCUAAAUACCGAGUAUUACUUAUAUUUUAAAACUUCUUUUUACGAAUUUGAAUAAAAGCUAUAUAUGAUAAAAUAAUAAUUAUGAUGAUGCAAGUAAAAAUAAUAUGAGCAGCAGUGAUAAAAUUAAUGAAUAAAAGGACAAAUUAAUGACAUGCAACAUAACAAAUACGUGAACGAAUUAGAUUAAAAUAAUAAUAAAGACAUGAAUAAAUAAUCAAAAUGAAGAUGAACAAAAUUAUAAAAAUGAUAAACAUAUGUAGGUGGAAAUCAUAAAAUCUAAAAAGUAAAACAACAAAGAUAUACGUAAAUAUACCAAUAAACAUCAAGUAAAACAAAGAUACAAGAAAGAAAGAAAGAAGUAAAUAAAUAAAUUAUAGAAGUAUGCGUAUAUUUUAAGACUAUAAAAAGAAUAUAUGUAUAUAUAAUUUUAAGAUAUAAAAUCUAUGAAGGUACAUAUUUAAAGCUUUUAAGUUUUAUAAUAUAAAAAAAUAUGUAUAUGUACAUGCUCGUAUAUGAAAACUAUAAAAGGUAUGCAAAAGUAUAUAUGUAUAUAUAUAUAUAUAAGCUAUUAUGUAAUAAUAAUAAUAUGAUAAGUAACAAUAAUAGAAAUAAUAAUAAUAAUAAUAAUUACUGAAAAAAUGGACUAAAUCGAAAUAAAAACAAAAAUACUGGGCGAAUUCGAAAUAAAUAAAAAAGGACUAAAGGGACUAAAUUGUGACAUGCGCCGAAAUAGAGGGGACCAAAAUCGGAAAUAAGCCAAAGUCCCAAAACGCAGCACUGAAAUGGACCAAAUUGAAACGAAAACAACAUUAUGGGGCUAAAUUAAAAAAACAAAUGAAUGAGCAAUAGAAAAUCAAAACAAAUUGAAAAUUAGAAGGGGCCAAAAGCGAAAUGGCCCAUUUAACAGAAAACACGCGGAUCUGAUCUCCGGGUCGGGUCGGAUCAUGUUAACGUUGAAACGACGCCGUUUUGGCGCCUGAACCUUAGGCCCAAAACGACGUCGUAUGAGCACUGAGAUAAAUAUAAAAUUUUAACCUAAAAAUCAUUUUUCAGCAGCCCUCCCCUGUUUUAAAAUUUCUUCUUUCCAUUUUCUCUGAGUUUCAGACCCUAGUGCGGCCGACUCCGGCAUGUUGCCAUCACAGCGCCGCCGUGGCUCCGCCGUGGACGGUGGUUGGGGCCACGCAAAAUCUACCCUUUUUUAACCGUUUUAAAAAAAUCUUUGAAGGUCAAGCCUCCUAGGCCUCAAUGGCUGAAAGAAAAACCCCUCUCGCCCUUACGUGGUCCAACUUCGGCGAUGGGGAAGAAGAUUCCGGCGACGGGACCCGCGGGGCGAACCUAGGUGCUUUUCUUUCCUCUUUCCUUUUUGUUUUAUUUUUGUACGCGUAAAAUAAGGUAAGAAACACACAAUAGCAGUAGACUAAAAAUGAAAGAAAAUAAAACAGAAAUAUAAACCUUAACUUUUUAUUGAUCUUUGAAUAAUCCCCCCCUCCGAUUACAGUGAUGAAGCCCCCCCUUACAAUGGUUUUUUGCUUGGCUUUUAUAGCCAUUUUACACUUUUUCUCUAUUAUUAUUUGCUGUCACUUCCUAUUUGAUUUUGCAGGUGCAGGUGGAAGAGCGGCGCUGAAGGAGCGGCGAGGGCAGAACAGUUGGUGGCUAGGGUAGGUUAGGGUUUCUGUCACUAGUUUAGGUUGUGGGCUAGGUUUAUUUUGGGCUGAAUUGGGUAAAAUUUUUUUAGACUUAUAGACUGUUAAUUGAUUUUGGUUUGGUUUAUUUGGUACGGGCCCGGGCAAAUUUGGGCUUCUACAUAUAGAAUAAGAAAAAUAAACUUGCUCCCACUGACCUGAUCAAUGGUGUGUUCCUUAAAAUCAAAGGAAGUUAAACUUAAUAUACACCAUGUAUUUAAACCCCCAUUAAGAAAGAUAGUUUUGUAUCCAUUGGGUACAACUCUAAAUUAUAAUGGUUUUGUAAUCAAUGUCUUCUUUUUAAUUGAAACCUUUGGUGGUAAGUCUAGCUUUAAAUCGUUCAGCAUUGUCUUUUGAGUCACGCUUACAAUAAUCUUCUUUUACAAUUUUUAAGCAAAUCAACUAGAUCCAAAACUUUAUUUUUAGUCAUCUUUCCAUUUUUUAAAAAUACUAUAAAAUCCUUUACCAAGGUUUUUUUUUACCAAUUUUUUCAAGGGAAAAGUGUUACUAGCUUUAUCUAGUCAAUUAAAUUUUAAGACAUAAAGAGUUUGAAAUAAAUCUAAAUGAUGUUCAAUAUCUAAAAUUACACUGUAAGUGUCAAUGUCGUUAAUUGAAACUUUAUUUCCAUCUCCCAUGUAAACAAAGCUAUCACUUUAUGGUUUGGGUUGUAACGGAUUUCGGCC
RNAcentral lists this long non-coding RNA (45841 nucleotides) under Gossypium raimondii (Peruvian cotton). Its description in RNAcentral is "long non-coding RNA (GRAI_LNC009814)". The record is from RNAcentral. Lineage: Eukaryota; Viridiplantae; Streptophyta; Magnoliopsida; Malvales; Malvaceae.